This 46878-nucleotide long non-coding RNA is filed under the name Capsicum annuum. RNAcentral describes it as "long non-coding RNA (CANN_LNC021637)". Lineage: Eukaryota; Viridiplantae; Streptophyta; Magnoliopsida; Solanales; Solanaceae. The record is from RNAcentral.
AAAUAGAAAAACUUAGAAGACAGACUACAUUUUCUCUAAAAUAUGUUUUUUUUAGAAAAUUGUUAGGUAUCUUCUUUAACGAGUGAGUGAGCAUUUUCUCCCGCCAGGAAAAAGUAAUAAUAGUGUGUAUGUAAGUAUAAAGAAAGAUCUGAUUAAAGAUUUUUCUUAUGUUGUAAUAAGUUCAUGGAAUAAAAAUUUGUUUUAUAUACCUUGUCAAUCUUUUAUACUGGUAAAAAUGAUGGUUGCGAUCAUCGGCCUAAACGGAGGAAGAACGGAACAGUAGCCAAAACUGUAGGACCAAGAAGGCUAAAGGGGUUCUUCAUAGCCGGAAGGAGAAACACUGCGGUGUUGAUACGACCAACGUAAAGGAAAGACGAAAGGUACAUGAAUAUACUCUAUAGUCUCAUGAACUUAUUAGCAUACGAAAAAUUAGUUUUCAUAUCUACCUUAUACAUUCAUACAUAUUGUAUUAUGUAGUAUCUAUAGGGAAUUUUAAAAUCAUGAAUAGUGUAUACUUUUUAAUAUGAAGGUUAUACAACCAGUAUUAAAGGAAUAUCGAAAUUAGUUUUGGGAAACCAAAAUAAAAAUCAGGUUUUACAAUCAUAAUAUAAAAAUUUUAAAAAAUUAUUUUAAUAAGUUAUAUAGAUUAAAAAAUUAUUUAAAUAAUUCUAAAAUCAACAGGGUUAGAGUCCUCAUAAAUGUCUCUCUAAAUGAAAAUCAUAAUCUAAAAUUAAUAUGGAUAUCUAGAUUACAAAAGUAUAAAAAUAAAUUAAAACAAAUGACUCUCUAUACAGCAUAAUGAGUUAUUAUACUUGUUUUCUAGAUGAAAAAACUUUAAUCGCUAUUUUAAAAGUGAUAAAUUUAAACAAAAAUCUACAGGAGAAAAUCCUUAAUAAGAUUAUAGAACCGCUUGUUCAAGAACAAUGAUAUAUCCAUAAUUAUUCUCAUAUAGAUUCAGAUGAAGAUGACUAUUGGCCAUAUUCUGAUGAUAAUGAUUAUUGGCCCUAUGAAUAUGAUGAUGGCUAUCAUACUGACUGAUUGUUGUCAAAUUAUUUCGCACAUUUACCCUGUUUGCGAUCAGCAUCAAUAUAUUUAAAUUUGGACUUUUAAAUUGUAAUAUUUAUCCAUUAAUUACUAAUUAAAUGAUCCAAAACCCAAUCUAAACUUAAAACCUAAACUUUUCACUCUUCACCUCACUUUUUAGUUUCAAGAGAGUUUUCUGCUCUCAUUUUUUCAUAAUUAUGAUUUUUCAUUAGCACAUGAGUAAAAACAUAUUUGAUCUAAUCUUCGAUCACAAUAUAAUUGUAAAAACUAAAGAUUAUAAAAAAACGAAAAAAAACAAAAAACCCGAAAAAAACAACUAAAACCUAAACCGAAAAAAUCAAUUUUAUGUUGGUUUGAUUUGGUUUAUAGUUUUAAUAAACCGACAUAAUUGGUUUGAUUUUUUUUUAAUAAAAAACGAACUAACCCGACCUAUGUACACCCCUACAAACAAGUAUGACCUUAUUCAACGUGUAGUUCAUACUGAGUCUACAAAUUGAUUCAAAAUGAGGAAUCAAAAUGUAUCAAAGGAAUAACAAAUUCAUCCAGUAGGAACCAAAAGUACAAUGCUUAUCAACCAAGAACACUGCAUAAAGACAUUAUAAAGAAGCCAAAAAAAAAAAAAAAUAGGCAAUGCAGCAUUUCAUCAAACAGCAUAGCAAAGCUUCAAGUACUAAUGACUGUUUACAAUUCCCAUCACAUUCUAAGCAUCUUGUUUACAAUUCUUACCAAUUACAUGUCUCAAAGACAAACCAGAACUCAUCUUUGGAAUGUCUACCCACAGUGAUCUGCAUAAAUACACACCCAAAAGCUCCCAAGAAAUCAGCAGAAGGACACUAGAAGGUGGUGUGAACUAAGAAACCAUCUAAUCCAAAUCUGAUGAAGAGGGUGAUUCCGAGUAGAUUGAUUCUUCAUCACAGUCAUCUCCUGUACUAUCAAUAUCUGAAGAUACAGCGAGGCUGUCCUCAUGUUCAUCGAUCCAAGGGGUACGAAAGUCUACUAGCUUUUUACAUCUUUCCUCAAGAUUACCCUUCAGUUCCACAUUCCAACAUGCUUGGAUUUCAAGGUGCGUUAGUGCCUUACACUCUGUGAGAAUAGCAUCAACGCCAGUGUCGCUCAACCGGUUGAAAGCGAAGUCAAGGCGCUGGAGACCUCUCAUAGUUUCUGCUAUAAUCAGUGCCUCCUGAUCGUGGACAUCGGAAUCUUCUAAAGUGGUUGGCAGCUCCCACAUAGGCAUGUUUCUUCUGAGAUGAGUCAACGACUUGCAUUGUUUUCCAAAAGCUUUCAGACCCUUCGCUGUGAUCUUUAAACAGUAGCUGACGUCUAAGAAUGUUAAAUUGACCAAGGACCCUGCAUGCUUUUCCACUACCUCGUCAGUGACUUCACUCAUAGGGAUUUGCAGUAUCUUGAGACAUUUUCCACUGCAAAAAAUAUUGGUAUACUCUAUAAACUAAGAUCAUUAUAAUGACACCCUUGCAUCAAUCUAAGAUAAAGAACCACGAGUCUUGCAUAACUAGUCUGUAGGCUAUACAUGACCUGAGUGAAGUACAGGUAAUGUUGGGUAGAACUUCUUGCAAGCCCAAAAUUGACUAAAUAAUACGUAUCAUACAAUUGGAUGUCUUAUAGUUAUUCUAACCUAUGCAGAACUUCACAAGAGAAUUUAUUAGCAUAACUGAAUUAUAGAUUAGACAGUUCUGAGCUAUUAUGUGUCAUUUCCUUUCUCCUUAAAAGUGAAACUGGAAAAGAAAAGCACAACAGUUCAUAUAGAAGACAUGUAUUAGUGGAAUAAGCCAAGGGCACAGCCGAACAAGCUAAUUCAUCACAAUGAAGUUUUAUUUUACUGAAACUAGUAGCUUAUGUGCAAGUUUUUUGAUAUGAUCAAGAUUUAAAUUGUCAAGGCAUCAACUAACGGAGUGCAAUUCAAAAAUGAGAGAUUUAAAUUGUCAAGGCAUCAACUAACGGAGUGCAAUUCAAAAAUGAGGGUCAGUUGAUGAAACUCUGGAUGGCUAAUCAUCAUUGGUCGUUUUCUUUAAGUUUUCACAUUUUGGCCAAAUGCCCCUUAACUUUUCUGGUUAGCACCUCAAUUAGGGCUGGUACCUAUUGAACACUCCAAGCUAAUAAAUUAAAGUGUACCUAUUAAACUCCUCAUGACUAACCACUCAAAGAGAUACAAAGCGUGAACUACAUGCACGGUGACAUGGAAAAAUUGACAAAUAAGAAAAAGCCAUGUAGCUUGUCUGUCCAACUAAUCAAAGAAAUGGCUUCCAUACAAAAAGAGGAAACCUAUUCCAAGACCUCAAACUUAUUCCAACUCCCGCCGAAAAGGGGAAAAGGGAAUACAAAGAAGUUUUAACUUAAGAGGGAAGAAAUUAUAGAAUGUCUUAUCGAAUUCCAAGCUCAAUAGAUUAAAAAAGGCAAUUGACAAAUUCUGUUCGUGAAGAUAUAUUAUUACAGCUUUUUGUACUCCACAUGCUGAAUUGAGUGACGAACUACGGCAAAAUAUGGUUUACAGCUCAUAAGGAAAGAUGGACUGCAUGAGGUUUUAUAUGCCAUUUUCAGAUGACCAAAGUUUAGCAAGAAAUUGAUAUUGUAUUUUCAAAUAGGAUUAGGAGCAGAAUUGAUUGUAUAUUUGUUGCUCUAGUCCUCUGGACCUAAAUGAUGGUGGGCUGGCAGCAUAGAAGGUUAAGGGGAAAGAGGAAGAAAGAAAAGAAAUUUGAAAAAGAAAAAGUCAUAUUUAAGUGAUUCACGAGCUCAUCACCAGUGAAAACCACUUUUUAUGCCAUGUAAGAUUUUGUGUUUAACAGGUACACUUUUUAUCAAGUUCAAGUAUUGAAUAAGUAGCAGUCGUUAAGGUAUUAAAAUGAAAAUUAGAGUAAAGUUUAAGUAUCGGUCCUAGUUUUGAUGCUAUCAUUAUGAGUUAAGUUAACCAUCAAAUGUUCCCACCUAUUGGGAAAGAGAUAGAAUCACUGGUUGAAGCUGUUGCUCAUCACAGAGAACAUAACCAAUGCAUUUUAGUUUGAGCAAUCAUGUUCGACAUCACCGAAGGUAUUGUUUGAUAUUUUGAACAUGACGCUUCUUGUAAGUGUCAAACCUGAUAUUUAGCUGUCUAUGCGGGUCACAAAUGUACCCCUAUAUGUUCCUCGCAAGUGUGCCACAUGAUAUAAGAAGUAGGAAAUUCCUCACAUUGAUGAAUGAGGUCAUCUAUAACAGAACUUACAAUAAUCCCAUGUGUUGCAGGCUUCAAGAUCUCUUCCGUGUUGUGUAGUGUUACCUUCUUCUAGCUAACUUAAAACAUGAUUUAGACCUUUCAGAGCGUUCUACUCUUCCAGUACAUACCAUAUUUUACGACUUUAGAUGUAGUAAUUGUCACUAUUCAUUUUUUCACCUUUGUUUAAGUCAGCAAUUAUACUUUUUGAUAUGAGACAAUUUAAGCAAGUUGUUCUCAUCAAUAUUUACUUUAACCACUAUAUGCAUGAGAUAUUCAUUUAAUCACUCAAGCAAAUCAAUUUUCAUAAUGACAUCACAUUUAGCGUAGAAUCGAAAUGGUUGCUAAGUUUCCAAUCAUCAUCCACCAUCUAAAUAUUUAAUCAACAAGUGAAAAAUAUUUCUUAGUGAGUAUUUUAGCAAUGACUUUCAAUUAAGUCUCAGUCCAUUUAAAUAAAAAUAAAUUGAAUUUGUAUAAAGAAAGACAAACAAAACAACUUAAUUCAUAUAUUGAAAAUAAAUUAAUAGCAGCAAAUUACAAGUCAAUUAAAGAUAAAAUCCCCACACUUAACUUCAAAACAGCGAAUAUACACCCUAAAAGAUUGACUUGUCAAAACCUCAUGAUAAACAUCAAUUAAUCUACCAUCCCAAGGUGCUCGGAGAGAGUCUGCUAUCCGAGAUUUCAACAUAAUAAGCCAGUUCAACACGUUUUAAUUCAAAAAGAUGAAUAAAUUCAAAGACGGAAACAUUAUGGGUCAUCUUAAAGAACAUAAAAAAAAAUUUCCCUUUGUUGAAAUCUCGGAUUAGGAAGGUUUAGCUAUUUUAGCAGACUUUCUCUGAGAACCUUAGGCAGGUAGAUUAACUUACGCUUAUCACGAGGUUUGGCCAAGUCAAUCUUUUAGGGCGUAUAUUCAUCAUCUUGAGGUCAAGUGGGAGAAUUUUAUCUUUAAUUGACUUAUAAAUUGUUGUUGUUAAUUUAUUUUCAGUAUAUGAAUUAAGUUGUUUGUCUUUUUUUAUAUAAAUUCAAUUUACUUUUAUUAAAUGGAUUGAGACUUAAUUGAAAGUCAUAACUAAAAUAUUUACUCACUAAGAAAUACUUUUCACUUUUGAUUAAACAAUUAGACUGUGGAAGAUGAUUGAAAACUUAGUGACCAUUUUGAUUCUACACUAAAUGAGUCAUUAUGAAAAUUUAUUUUCUUGCGUGAGUAUAUGAUAUCUCAUCCAUAUAGUGAUUAAGUAAAUAUUGAUGAGAAUAGCUUGCUUAAACUGUCUCUCGUUAACAGACAUGGCAUCAAAAAUUAAAAUUAUUGAUUUAAACAGAUGUGAGAAACUGAAUGGUGACAAUUAUGAUAUAUGGAGUAACAUGAUAUGUACCGGAAGAGAAACGCUCUUCAAGGUAUAAAUCAUGCUUUAAAUCAACCAUAAGAGGGUAACACUGCACAAUACAAGGUAUAAAUCAUGCUUUAAAUCAACCAUAAGAGGGUAACACUGCACAAUACAGAAGAAAUCUUGAAGCUUACAAAGCUUGAAAAAAUAAAGAUCUAGCUGCAUAUGAGAUUUUUCUAAGUUCUAUUGUUGAUGAUCUCAUUAAUGAAUGUGAGGAAUUUCCUAUUGUUCAUGCCACGUGGGCAUACUUGCAAGGAAUAUAUGGAGGUACAUCUAAUAUCUAUGUUAUCAAAAAAAGCAUAUGGAGGUACAUCUAUGACCCAUCUUAGACAACUAAAUAUUAAGUUUGGUACUUAUAAGAAGCGCUAUAAUCAAACAACACCUUAGGGUGAUGUCAAACAUGAUUGUUCAACUCAAAAUUGUUGGCCAUGUACUCUCUGACAAGUAACCGGUUCAGGCAGUGAUCAUGUCUCCUCCCAAUAGUUGAGAACUUUUGAAAGUUAACUUAAGCCACAAUGCUAGCAUCAAAACUUUCUCUGAUGUUGUCUCUCAUGUUGAUCAUGAAAACGAGCAACUUGGUGUUGCUAAAGCUUGUACCUAAUGCCUUUGUGGCAAAAUCAAGUGCCACAAAGUGUUCAGGUUUCAAGGGCAAGAAGUGUCGGAAAAUAACGAAAACGGUAAGGAGGCGGUAGAAGAAUCCUCCAAGAAAAAGAACAAGCCAAAUUUCAAGAAGGGAAAAUGAUUUUUCAAGAAGAAAGACAAGAGUAAGAUGACGUGCUACAACUGCCAAGUUUCGAGGCAUUUUGCUCGUAAUUGUACCGAGCCUAACAAGGUAGCAUUUCAAAACACAUUUGUAAGUACUAUAUAUGUUCCUAGCACUGGUUUACUAACUGAAUCUUAUCUUGUGCGGAUUGUAGACACAGGAACAUUGACCAUGUUAGUUAUGAUCGAGGAGCGUUUGUGGAGUUCCGUCAAGUCUCACCUAGAUCAAGGUGGAUAUAUGUAGAAAAUAAGGCAAGAUUUAGAAGUUAAAGAAAUAUGCAUGUAAUACCCCGUACUUUUUCCUAGCUUAAAUUCGCUCCUAGAAUGUCAAGAACUAGCUUCAAAAAAAUGAAAUCCAUUUUAUUCAUAUGGAAUUUUCAAGAUUUCGACUUUUCAUUGCGUAGGAAAUUGAAUUAGCUUUCCAACAAUAUAAAAUUCGCCCAAAUCCGACACCCGGGCGAAGAAUUAUGGACGUUUUUGUAAAAUAGUGUGCCACCUGAGCCAUCAACACGUCACGGAGCCAGACAAAAUAACAAUCGUCAAAAUCCAGUGAGCCUCCGCGAUCAUGGCGCGUCGCGCCAAGGCUCAAAAUGGCAAUGGUCCUUUUCAGUGUUCCAACGCGAUCCCACCGCAUCGCGGUCUUCCCGGUCGCAACCAAGGAGGCAACGUAAUUCCACCGCGUCGCGCCACCAUGCAAUUUCCUGGUUGUCAUUUUCUAGUGGCUUGGCGCGAUAGUGGCGCGUCGCGCCAGGGGUCCUGAUCGGAAAAAAUUCACGAAAACUUAAAGUUGCACUCAGGGUUAAAACAGUCUUUCCCCGUGUUUUAAUUCGUCCAGAUAUAGGAUUUAAUCCCUAAAAACGUUUAAACCCUUCAUUAUUCACUUUUUUCCAAAAUCAAAAGAUAAUUCUCCCUCAAGAAAACAAACCCUAGCUCUCAAGAAUCAAGGUCAAUCCCAAGAAUUUCUCUAAGAACUCCAAGAAACUCUCAAAUUAAAGUAUGUUAGAUGUUCAUCCAUGGAUCCUUACCUUCCAUGGAGCCCAAGAAUCCUUUUUCAAAAUACAAGUUUGGAUUUCAUGAAUUCUAUGUUUGAAUUUGAUUGUAUCCAUGUUCAUGAUGUUGUUUGGGUUUUAAUCCAUGAUUUAGAUUACAAGUUCCAAGAAUUGAUCCUAGUAUGUGUUGAAUUACAUGAUAUUCAUGAUAAACCCUUCAAUUUGCAAGUUGAUUGUUGUAGCUAUGUUAACCCUAAGUGUUUAUGAUUUAAUGAACCAAGCAUGUUUCCCAUGUGUUUGAUAAAUUGUCUAUGAGAAUGAAAUAAUGCCAUUAUAGCAAUGCCAUUAUAGCAUACUAACAUGUAUUCCCCAUUAAUGCACAAGUUAAUGCAUUACAAGUUUUUAAUGCAAUGUCUCUAUGAACGAACUAUGACCAAGUGAACAUUAUUAUGCUGUGCUUUUAUGCUAUCGAGUCCUGGGGGUAUUUAAUACCGGACAAUUUAGUUGUUUACCUAGAGCUAGUGUCAGUUACAGAAUAGUAGCAGUCAUGUCACAAUCAGUAGCAGUAAACUCAGUCAGUAACAGAACUUAGGAAAAACACAGUAAACUCUGUAUCAAUCUAGUCCAGUUCAGAAUAAUCAGCUCAGUGUCUUUCGGUUAGGAGUAGGAUUCAACACCAAGAGAGCCUAGGGAUGGCGUCUCACCCGUUAGUUAGGACUAGGUCCCUAGAAGAAAGCCCUAAGUUCCAAAACUACGUAGCCAGCGUAGGUUAUGAGAUGUCACCCGUCAGAUAGGAUUAACAUACUCAAGGAUCACCCGCUAGUUUAGGACUGAUCUCAGAGGUCACCCGCUAGUUAGGACUGACUCCACAGCAGUUGUCUUUACCCGUGGCACGGUACUGACACCCUUCCAAUUGGGGUUACAGAUUAGACCCCAACUCAGUUAUCUUAUCUUAUUUGGGGCAUGUCGGUUAGAUAAUCACCUCCCACAGUUUCAGUUUCAGUUUAGAACUCAGUUCAGUUCUACAGUAUCAGGACUGUCAGCUACAGUCGAUCAGUAUCAGUAUCAGUAACUCAGUUAUCAGUAAAUUUCAGAUUAUCAGUUACUCAGUUACCAGAAUUCAGUACUUAGCUUCAGAAAAGUUCAGAUACAGUGUAUACCUAUGUAUGUCCACAGUAUCGCAUACUCAGUGAUUUCAGUAGUAUCAAUUAUUCACGUACUCUCAUGUUCAGUUACUCUUUAUUGUUUAGUCAGUUAUUGUUCAUGCAUAUGAACCCUUGCAUUCAGCCAUACCUCAUUUAGCAUACUAGUACAUUCCCACGUACUGAUCGCAUACCCGUUUCUUACGCUAUAAUGUUUCAUAUCAUAGGUUCGGAUGCUCAGGUUCCUGACUGCGUUUAGCCAGAUUCAGCCAGCAAUAGCAGAGUUAGUAGUGAGUGCUCAUCUAUCGAGGAUAUACUUCUAUUCCAGUAUUUCAGCUUAUCAGUAGCUCAGUAGUCGGAGUUAGUUGGGGACUUGUCCCAGCAACUCCACUUUCAGACAGUUCAGAUUAGAGGCUUUCAGACUAGAGUUCAAGACAGUAUUUAGUUUUACAGAUUGUUAUUUCAGAUGUUAUGUUAUUUAUCAAUAUUUUUAGAUUUUGAACCUUAUGGCAUUUCAGCCUAUUUUCCGCAUUUUAUAGUAUUAUUAUUCCGUGCUCACAACAAAUAUCAGUCAUGUGUUAGCUUGUGGUCCUUCGGGGUCGUAAGCACCAUGUAGCGUUCAGGGUAUAGACUGGGGGCGUUACAAUGCACUUGCAAAAUGGACUUGCGCGGUGGCCUAACUUUGAUGUUGCAUGGCGCUCUAUAUACUCAUCCGACAAAACUUAGUCUUUGUGUCUGUUCUUUUAGAUGUUGGAAAUUGGGUCAUGGAUUGCUCCAUAUGAGCUGACCCUACCCAAUUAGUAGAGAUAAGAAAAUUAGAAGGGUCAUUAUAUGGGAAAUUUUAUUUUAACCAGAAAACUCCCACUCAAUUGUUGUUCCUGUUAACACCAUUCAGAAGAUGUUGAUCUAUAUGCAACCAGGAAGGCCAGUUCUAUUUCACUAGGAAAUAGAACUAUGAUUCCAUAAACCAUAUGUACCUUUUAGUGUAUGCUUUUGGGAGUUACAAGAAGUAGUCUUUUCUCUGUUCACUUUUGAAGAAAAAAAGUGUGAUUCUCUUUUUAAUCUAAAUAGAAGGGGAGGUAGAGGUAAAGAAGUUACAAGAUUUCUCCUACCCACACACCCACGUUCAAAAUAGGGUUGCAAUUAUCUUGUUUGUGGUACCUCCUAGUAACCUCUUAGUUAUAACUUCAUGUAGGUUUAUUUCUCCUAACGUUCGAGUCGGGUCGGAUCAGUUCACAUAGGCAGCCACGAGGGUGUAUCAUACGCAGCCUUAAUUUUUUUAUACAAAAAAAGGGUGAGUCUAGUGCACUAAGGCUCUCGCUAUGUGUGAGAUCCGGGUAAGGGUCUAUUCUACACAACCUUACCCUGCAUUUGUACAAGAGGUUGUUUCCAUGGCUUGAACCCGUAACUUCCUAGACACAUAGCAACAACUUUGCAAGUUACUUCAAGGCUCAACUUCAAAAUCAAAUUGGUUUGACAAGAGGGGUUCCUAAUACGUGAGUUUGGCGAAUAAAUUCACCCAUUCAAACACACUCGCGCGCGUAUAUAUAACAGAUUUCUCGAAAGUAAUGCAAAGUAAAUGGUAGGAAUGGGUAGAAAAACAGAAAGAAGAACAAUACCGAUUAGCAGCAAAGGAGAACCCAACAUUGCCAAGACGGUAAGUAGAGAGUCUUCGGAAUGUAGACCUACUCCGACGAACAAUUUUACGGACAACAGGGUCAAUUUGGUGAGAACGAUUAGCCAUGCAACAUUUCCGGCACCACCCUUCCAGAUCAAUCUCCGUCCAACAAUUGGGACCAGACACAACCUCCAUCCAACACCGGCAAACUAACGCCACACUCCUCACCAUCAACUCAGGGGGAACAAUCCUGACGAAAAUUGAAGCUAAUAUCUCUGAAUCCAACUCAUCCCAUCUACCUCCGCCGCCGCCGCCGGCUAUGCAUACGGCGUCGUUUGCGACUUCAACGCAUGCCCUUUUCGAGUUUUCCGUAGAUUCCAUUUGUUUGGACAAAAGGGCUGUGUCGAGUGAGGUAUGUAAGUUGUAGCGCUUCGAGUUUUCCGUUGUUGGGGGGUUUUGUUUUUGCUGGCAGAGGAUUUAGAUGACUCACACGUGUCGAGACUCCUUUCAUAGUAACUCAUCUAACGGCUGAAAACUGGAUCAUCUAAGUGUUAGAUACGGGUGUAAUUUUGUAUUCCUUACUCGGACUAGUUUGGUACGUGAGAUAAUAAAUUAUUUCAAAAUUAAUUUUACAAUAAAUUUAUUUUAUGACUGAAAUAAUAUGUAUGGGAUGAUUUAUUUUGAUAUUACCUAUUCUGAAAUUGUAAUUUUAUUUUUAUAAUUAAUCUCGAGAUAAUUUAUUUCCUACCAAACAAUUCUUAAAAUUUUUACUACACAUAAUAGUUGCCAUUCAUAUUUUAAUUAACUUUGUAAUUUAGAUUAAGAGUUCGUAUAGGAUUAAAAUCUGGUCAAAUCAACUUUUAAUUUUUAUUUUUUUUUUAGUUUUUUAGGUCUUUGAUAAAAUUAAAAAAUACUUAAAAAAGAUAAAAGUUGAUUUUAAAAAGCAAAAAGUGGGAAGUUGGAUACCCAACUUUUUAUUUUUCAGAUUAAAAUUAUUUUAAAUUUGACCAAAAUAUUUACAUUUUUAUCGCUUAUAUUUUUCUUCAAUUUCGAAAAUACUUAAACUUGAAGCUCUUAAAUAUAUAGUUUUUUUUCCUUUUUCUCACUGCUACUUCUCUUCGUCUCUUUCAAUUUCCUCUUCAUUUUUCUUCUCUGUUUUCAGCGAAUUGGCCACUACAUCGGAGGUUUACAUAUUUUUUUAACAUAGUCAAAUUGUUACAAGCUUGCAAUAAUACUAUUUUUAUAUAAAAAUGUCCAAAAUUUUUUAUUUUUUAACAUUUAAAAAUAAAAUAGUAACUUAUAUUUAGAAAUUAAUUUCACAUAAUCACUUUAUUGAAAGUCCAGUUAAAUAAAAAUUAUUUUUGAAUUAAUAGAAUUAAAAUUAUAAAUAAUUCACUUUAUUUGUGGUUUUAAUAACUUCAAGGACACUUAAGUCAUUUUGACAACAAAAAGAUACUUAGCAUUACUAGUUUACCAAAAACAUCAACAACUUUUUUUCAGUUUCAACACUUCUAUCCAAAUACUUAGCUACUAUAACCACUUAUUUUAAGUUUUUAAUCAUUUAGAGCCCGUUUGAAUAAGAUUAAAAAAAAUAGCUUUUUAGCUUUAGUGAUUAAAAAUUUAAAAUAAGUGUUUAUAAAUUAAAUAGAUAAAUGUUUAGAUAGAAGUGUUGAAACUAAAAAAAAAAUUAUUGAUGUGUUUGGUAAACAAGUGAUGUUAAGCACCUUUUUGUUGUCAAAAUGACUUAAAUGUCCUUAAAGUUGUUAACACCAUACAUAAGAUGAAUUAUUUAUAAUUUUUAAUUCUAAUAAUUCAAAAAUAAUUUUUAUUUAAAUGCACUUUCUUCGUAAAGUAAUUAUGUGAGGUCAAUUUAUAAAAAUAAGUUUAUUUUAAAAUAUUAAAAAAUAAAAAUUUUAGGACAUUUUUAUACAAAAAUAGUAUUAUAUUGUAAUAUUGAAAGCUUGUAGUAAUUUGGCUAUGUUAAAAAAUAUGUAAACCUCCGAUGUAAUGAUGGAUUCACUGAAAACAAAGAAGAAAGAUGAAGAGGAAAUUGGAGGGAAAAGACGAAUAGAAGCAACAAAGAGAUUUUUUUUUUAUAUAUUUAAGGAUUACAAGUUCAGAUAUUGUUGGGAUUAGAGGAAAAUAUAAAGGAUGCAAAGGUAAAUAAUAUGGUCAAACCUAAAAGAAUUUUAAUCUAAGGGUCCGUUUGGAUGAGCCGAAAAAAAAUGGCUUUUAAAAAGUUCUUUAAAAGUGCUUUUGAAAGUGCUGGACUUAUUUUAAAAAUAAGCAAUUCUGUGUUUGGGUAAAAGUACUGAAACUGAAAAAAAGUUAUUGAUGUGUUUGAUAAAUAAGUGCUUUUAACCACUUGUUUGAUCAAAAUGUUUGAAAUACCCUCAUAGUUGUUAAUAAUAUAUAGAGUUGAUUAUUAUUAUUUUUUAUUGCUAAAAUGAUUCAAAUUAAAAUUAAUAUAUAUAUAUAUAAUAUUUUCAUGAAUGACUAUUAAUUUGUGCGCUAAAAAAUCAUUUUUUUUAAGAGUUUAAGUGUUAAUGUUUUAAUGUGUUUUAAGAGUUUAAGUGUUGAAUGUUUUAAUAUGUUUGAAAAAGAGUUAUAUAUAAAUCAUUUUUUUUUAGAGUUUAAGAUUAUUUGGGAGACUGCCGCUUUAAGAGAGAACAACUGGUUAGUUUUGAGAGCAAAAUGAAUAUGCUGGAGAGUAAAAGAAAAUUAGGGCUACAAAAGGAUAUAUUCGGAAUAAGGAACAAUUACAGGGGAUAUAUAUGUCAGUUACAUGAUCAACUUAAAUUGGCUUAUCAGCUCCCCAAGAAAAAAAGUUAGGGAAAGCUACUUUUUACUUUAGGCUUUUAAAAAGUGAAAAUUGACUUUUUUUUUAAGUAAUUUUGGAAAUUAUCAAACAUUUUCAAAAACGAAAAAAAAGCCAUUUUGAUAAAAAAAAUAAAAAAAUUAAACUUAUGCAAACACCCUUUAAAGCUUUUUACUUUUAGCUUUUUUAAGUACUUUUUAAUUUUACCAAACAACUAAAAAAACUAAAAAAAAGAGAGAUUAAAAGUUGAUUUGACGAAUUUUAAUCCUAUCCAAACAGACUCUUAAUCUAAAAAGCUAUUUUUUUUAAUUCUAUCCAAACGGAUUCUAAAUAUGUUUCUGUUAAAAUGUGACAACUAAAAAUGGUCUAGAGAGAAUAUUCUUCAUUAUUUUAUUUAUUAUUUAUAUUUAUUAUACCUUUAAGUACUCUCACAUAAAAUUUUAAAUAAUACAAUGAACAACAAAAAUUAGUAAAAAUGCCAAUAAAAGAAGAUAAUAGGAAAAAACUCUUGUUGGCCGUAGUCCGUAGAGUUUAUAUCCAGUUUUAUAUGUAUAUAAAGAUUAUCUAUAGCCAUUAAGCAUGGAGUUAAUAACUCAAAUGGUCAUUUAAUUUAUGACUUUUCUCUCAUAAAGUCACUCAACUUUGUUUCUUACUUCAAAAGUCACUCAACUUAGGAUUCUUCUCUCAGAAAGUCAUCCGACUUUGAUUUUUUACUUCAAAAGUCAUUUAACUAUGAAUAUUUUACUUACAAAGUCACUCAACCUAUUUAAUUAAUCUAUUUUUAAUUAAAAUUUGCUAACAUGAAAAUUUAUUUAAAACUAAAAUACUAAAAAAACUAAAAAAAAUCAUUUGAACCAUAUCAUUACAUAUUCUCAUGUUUACUUUAUAACCUGCUGAAAUUUAAAAAUAUCGUAAAUAGUUAAUAUCAAUUCACUUAUAAUGUUAAUAUUAAUUUUUAAGAUUUUUAGAAGGAAAGAUUACAGAAACUAGCAUCCUUAAAACUAUAAUUAUAAUAAAUAGCAACACUUUUUCAAAAUUACAACUUGUAGAAAAAGUAGCAAUAUUUUACCCACUUCAUAGUAAUAGAAGAAUAUGUAUUUUCCAGUUGUACAUAUGUAUUUAUGAGUAAUAUAUAUAUAUUUGUAUAUGUAUUUAUAUAGUAACAUUUUACUUAAAUACAAAAUAUAAUUUGCUACUUUUCGUAAUUAUGAAACUGUUGCUAUAAAAGUUAUAAUUAAGGCUACAGAGUUGUUAUUUCUGAAAUUUCCCCUUUUUAGAAUCAUAUUCAUUUGUCUGAUUAGAUUUAAUUAACUUCCAACGUGAUACUUACCUACGAAAUUGAUUUUUCAAUCGUAAUAUAUUUUUUUGUAUUACCACUUGAAUAAUAUACAUAUGCAUCAAAUAAAUACAAUGAAUUCUAUUCCCACUAAGUUGAUAAAAGAGAACGUUAUAGAUUUUAAACUAAAAUGAUAUGAUAUGAAUUGUUAGCAAAUGUUAUUAAACAUUAGUAACAUUAUAAUAUAUACACUGCAACAAGAUAAAAUUAGCAACAAAAAUUAUACAAUCAAAUGAUUAUGAUUUUAGGAUAUUAAUUGAUGAUUUGUAUGACUAUAUAUACUUUAGAGUAUAGAGUAACCAUUGAAUAAGAAAAUUGAUAAAAAUAGUAGUAAAAUUAAAAUUCUAAGAAAUAAAGGAGGUAUUCUUUCAAACCAUUUAAAUGAAUUUUGGAUAUGGGCAAGCCAUUAAAUGGGUUGUUUAAAUGAUUUUCCCUCUUUCUUAUUUCUUAGGAGUAAAAUUUUGGUUUAAAUAAAAAUUACAUGUCAGUAAAUUUUAAUGAAAAAAAUUAAUUAAAUAGUUUCAGUGACUUUGUAAGUAAGACACUCAUAGUUGAGUGGCUUUCUUAGAAAAAAACUUAUAAUUGAAUGAUUUUUGGAAUAAAAAUCAAAGUUAAGUGACUUUUUGAGAGAAAAAUCAAAUUCACCAUUUGGGUUAUUAACUCAUUGAGCAUGUCAAUUCCACCCUCGGAUCAUUAUACAAGGCGCAUGGCCAACAUAUGGUGUUUAUUCAUUAUAAGAUUAUAUUUACAUAGAUUGCUACUAUUUGAGUAAUUGAUUGAAGUAUUAUUCCAACGUUUUCAUAUAAGACGUUGCAAACAACUUUCAGAAAAUGCAAAAUCAUAUUUUUACUGACACAUAUAGCCUAAGAGAAUUUCGUUCGAAGUUUUGCAAUCUGUGUCUUAUUGAGCAAGAAGCUCUUGGCAAGAACGUCAUCUAUAUUAGGUGGUUCUGAAGCAAGGAUGGCUCCAGGAAUCGCCAUGGUUCCAGGAUUUUGACUGUUGUAAAAAGCGAGAAAAGUAGCUUUUUUGUGUCCCACAUUAUAUAUGAAGCGGACUACACCUAAUGGGAACACAAAAACAUCACCAGGAUUACCCUUAAAGAAGAGAUUUUGAAGAAGAGAUUACUCUUAAAGAAGUUUGCACCAUCAGCAACAAGAAAUCCUGCAUAGAGAGUACCCUCCAGCAGGACAGUUAUCAGCUCAGCAGCUCGAGGAUGCAUGUGAAGUGGAACAACGCCCUGAGGUUCCAAGUCGGCACGAGCGAUAGAAAUACCAAGAGUGUUAAGUCCAGGCAUGUUAUUAAUUAAAUUCAGAAUCUUUAGUGUAAAACCAAACUUGGGAAAUACAUUUCCACCAACAUUAAGACCUGAAGUAAAAAAAUCAUCUGCUUUUGCAAGCUUUGGGUCUUUGCAAAUCUUCCCAUUCACGAAAACUGCACAGUAAAAUAAAAUGAAGCUAAGCAUGUUAUUCAGAUAAUACUUAAAGAGUUAACAAGCUGAUACAAAUCAGGGCUGUUAACUGGGCCGGGCUGGGUCAACCCGGGUCCGGCCCAUCACAUCUAACCGGUUUUGUGGGUGGGCCAGGUUAAACGGGUUGGUCUGGUUUCGGGCCCAACAGUAAAUUUUAAAAAAAAAUCCGGGAUCUGCCCACUACACCUAAUCCAGUUCAACCCACCUAAACCCGGUCAAAACCAAUCCAAAAUCCGGUCAAAACCGGUGAAAACCAAAAAUAAAAAAAUAAAAAAAUUCUCCAAUAUACACUAUAUAUACCUACCUAUAUACAUUUUAAAUACGUUAAACAAUAUAUAUACACUAUAUAUAUAGUAUAUACUACAUUAGAAUUUAAAAAACAUAUACACAAUUACACAUGUAAUCGUGUAUACGUCUAUACGUUAGUUAAAUAUAUAUACUACUCUAAAUAAAACUUAUACUACAAUAUACUAAUAUAUAUUAUAAUUUAUAAAACAUAUACACAUGUAUACGUUAAAUAUAUACUACUUUAGAUUUUAUAGAAGAUAUAUACACAUAUAUACGUACCAUUCAAUAUAUUUAUACUACUUUAAAUAAAACAUAUAUUACAAUAUAUAGACAUACUAUAUAUAUAGUUAUAUACUAAUUUAUAAAACAUAUACACAUGUAUACGUUAAAUAUAUACUACUUUAGAGUCUAUAGAAAAUAUAUACACAUAUAUACGUACCAUUCAAUAUAUGUAUUACUUUAAAAAAUAUGCUACUUAAUAUAAUAAAUUAAUAAUACUUGAUAGUAAAUUAGUUAUAUAUUAAAAUUAAGUAUUUAAUUUAAACUAGAAAUUCAAUUUAAAUCAUUAAAUGAAAAAAAUUACAAAGUAAGGAUUAAGGAGUGAAUGAGUGUUAUAUUUUAUUGAUUGUAAAAUGAUUCCAAAUUUAUAAUGUACAUGAAUGAAAAAUCUACAAAGUUCUCAUCAUUUUUUCAACUCAUCCAUGUUAAUAUUAACGGAAACUUGCAUAAGAUAGUCAAAGUCAAUGGAGACAAAACCAUGCAUUGGACAUGAUUCUGCUGAGUUCUCCUGUGAAGUCAUAAUUUCUUCAAGUUUCUGUUCAUCUUUCGGCUCCACCUCCAUUCCUUGAUUUCUUCGUUCCGCUCUAAUCCAAUCUCUAAGGCAAAUUAGAACAUUCAUAGCAUUGCUUCCCAAUGAGUGUCGGUUGUCUCCAAGCUAUUGUCGUCCCUAACUAAAAGUGCUCUCCGAUGCAAUGGUUGACAUUGGAACAUUCAAUAUAUCUCUAGCUAAUCUUGAAAACACAGGAUAUUGUGUUUCAUUAUUCUUCCACCAAUCUAACGCGUUGAUCUGUCGUCUACGAUCCUCUAGCGGUGUUCAAAGAUAAUACUUAAGCUCUUCCCGAUAAGUUGUUGUGUAAGUUCCCACCUUAACACUGUUCCACCAAUUUAAAUCAUAAAAGUAAUCAAGAAAACCACUAUGUGUCGGACUUUUAGAAGAUGAUGGCUCUUUGGGAGGAUGAGGAGCAAUAGUUAGAGUGAUAUUUGUCAGUACAGCUAAAUCAAGUAAAUCAGCAUAAUGGUUAUAUAAUUUAUCUAUGUAAGCAUUCGCAUCACCCAUAGCCGUCCACAAAUCUGGUUGUUCUUGUUCUUCCUCAUCAGAAUCAUUGUUAGUAUUUUUCUCUAAGUUAGAAUAAAUAAGAGUACUAAAUGGCAUAUAGUAGUAUAGUUCAUACAUGGAUUUAUCAUAGCACCACCCAAGUAAAUAAGGGGAAUUGGAAAAAAAUAUUCUUUAAAUUUAGCAAAUAUAGCACCAACAACUUCUUUGUAACCUUCUUUAUUCUUAUAUUCUUUGAGUGAACCAAAAAUAUGGGCUAUGUAUGCUAAAAUAUUACAAACAGUAGGAUAAUAAGCACCGAAAAAUUCAACCGUAUCUAUAUAAAAAAAUUUCAAAAACUUAACAAGAUCAUCAAUUACAGCUCAAUCAGAAUCAUGUAGCAUACAUUCAGCCGAAUCAACAAAUAAACCACAAUGUUGGUUAAAAGUUAGUGUAAUAGAAACUCUAUAUUUAUGACAAGUUUUUAAAAAAUCAUACGUAGCAUUCCAUCUAGUAUCACAUUCUUCAAGCAUCAAUAUCGGUGCAAGUCCAUUUUGUUCACAUUUAACUUUAAAUUCUCUAAUUCUUUUUCUUCAAUUAUUUCCUUGAACAAAACCAACAACAAGCCGGAUUUUUUCAAUAUAAAGAUCAAAAAACUCAAGACCAUCUCUUACAAUUAAAUUAUAUAUAUGACAAACACACUUAACAUGGAAUAUUUCAGGUAACGGCGGAGAUAACUUAGCUUUUAACUUGGUAAUAGCAGUCUUGUUGUUAGAAGCAUUAUCAAAAGCAAUACAUAAGAGUUUAUUUUCAAUACCAUAAAAUUCUGCAAUUUUACCAAUCGAAUAAACAAUAAAAUCUCAAGUAUGUUUACGAUCUUCAUCAUACAAAAAAGGUAGAAUACGUUUUUGCAUAACAAAAUUACUAUCUAUCCAGUGACAAGUAAUGGUUAAAUAAUUAUUUUUAUUAACAGCACAACCAAGAUAAGAAGUUUGAGUCAUUCUACAUUGAAUAUUUUUUAACAAUUUAGAUAAAUAAAAACAAUAUUAUGAAUGAAGUCUAAAAAUAUCAGCCCGACAAGUACUUCUAGGAAUAUCAUUAAACAUAAGAUUAUAAAUUGCUUGAAUAUAAUGAAUAAAAGCACCAGAAGAAGGAAAACUGAAAGGCAAACAACCCACAACUACUAUUUUUGUUAUUUCUUCCCGGUCCUCAAUUUAUUAUACAUCUUAAUUACCUGACCGGUUGCUGGGUCCAUUCUAGUGUGUGUUGGCCCACCAACAUCCUGACCACCUUUUACAAUAAGUAACUCUCUUUCGUGAUUAUCACUUAUAUGUCUCAUUAACGUACCCCGUAUCCCCUUGCUUGCCUUCUCUUUUAUGCUUAUAUAUUUGUUGACAAAUAUUGCAUUGCACCUCAGUAUCUGAUAUACGUGUAAAAAAUUGUCAUGCAAUACUAGUUGUUUUACGAGCUCUUGGGGCACGGGAGGACGGGGAGGGCAAUUAACCGAUUCAGAUAUAAUAUUAGCAUUUCCUACUGCGGGUGUCUCACCAAUAUUUUCAUCAUCUUCAUCUAAAUCAACCGCAUCUACUUCAUUUUCUUUUUCUAUAACGUAAUUUUUCUGAGCUUCUACAUAACCCAUAUCGUGAGCACCUACACCUACUUCUUCCUCAAAAGGUUGACUAAGCGGUACUGGAUGCGGAGGCACACGGGUACAUCUACUACUUGAACUACCUCUACCGCCAGUAGUUCACUUUUUACUACCACUAUCACUUCCGGGAUAAUUUUUUUUUACACUUUUAAUAGCGAGGUUUCUUAAUUUAUUCAUAAUAUAAAUCAAUCAAAAAAAAUUUAAAAUACACAAAUAUAAUAAAAUUAAAUAUUCAACAAUUAAUACACUAACUAAAAAUUAAAAGUAAGAGAUGGAACGACAAUAUUAAAUUUUAGAAUUAUCCUGCCACGACCCGAUUUCUCAAGUCGUGAUGACACCUAUUUUAUCCCCCUAGUAGGCAAGCCAAGCCAUAGCCCGAAAUAAUAGAUAACGGGCUAAUAGGCAGAAAUCAGAAAAGAUCGAGUAUAAUGAUAGUAGUAGUAAUAAAAAGUAACAAACAGAAAGUAACCAUAUCUCAUAUACUAAAAUGAGGAAAAAAAAAUUACCAAAUACACAAAAGAAUCCCUCCCUGGUAAGGUCGGUACUAGAGCCACAACUAAAAUAUACCCAGAGUACUAGACAAAAAUCUAAAAUGUACACAAUAUACAAAAGCAGUCUCGAGUACAAAAGAAUAAACCAGAGUAGAUAGAGAAGGAUCAGCCCUGGAAGACAGUAAACUCACCCUACUCUGAAUCAGUACUGGAAGGUAGGAAUCACGUCAACGUCGACAACUAGGGCCGGAUCUACAUCAGGAAAAAGAUGCAGAAGUGUAAUAUGAGUACUAAAAACAAUGGGUACUCAGUAGGCAUCAUCGGAUAACUAUAGUGCGAAGGCUUAAUCUGAGUCAUCAGUAAAAAGGGAUAUAAAGGUAAAUAACUACUAAGCUAUGCCACUGAGAUAGAUAAAUAACUGUAAGCGAUAAAGAAAAAUAAAUAACGCAGUAAUUACAAACAAAUCAAACAUAACCUAACUGGCCCUCAUAAGCCAGCUAGGCACACAACAUAACCUAACUGGGCCCCCAUAAGCCCGUUAGGCACACUGAAGAAGACAAUUAACCUAACCAUACCCUCAUAAAUUGGUGGAACAUACAAGUAGCAAUUAAAAAAAGUAAACGUAAAUAAUUUGUAACCGAACUGAUCUCAAGAAAUCAUGAUAGUCAUCCAGAUGUGCACCAGACUCGAACCGGUACCAAUGGGUAGUAAUGAGAGGCCAGAUAUAUAGAACUCAUAAUCAGAUGUCGGACUUAAACUGAAACUCAGAGUAAUCACAACCAUAAUCAGAUGCCGAACUAGAACCGAAACUCAUAGUAACAAUAAUAGUCAAAUGCCGGACUCGAACCGAAACUCAUAGUAACAAUAAUAGUCAGAUGCCAGACUUGAAUCGAAACUCAUAGUAACCAUAAUAAUCAGAUGCCGGACUCGAACCGAAACUCAUAGUAACCAUACCCAACGGUAAUAUUAAAAUCCAUAUCAUAUCAUAACAAUGUUAACGUCUAAAUAAUCAUCUGCCAAUUUUAAUUAAAAAGGGAUAAAUUCAAGAUUUUUAUAUUUUAGUUUCACAUCCUAAAGUAAUAGAUGCUAUAUUAUAUUAAAAAAAAUAAAUUCCAAUAUUUACUAGAACAGGGUCCUAAUUCGGAUAAAUAAGACAGUUUAUAUAAAUCACAUGAUAGGCAUCUACAAGAACCUAUCCAAUGCUAACAUAAUAGCAGUAAAUAAACUCAAUCUAAAGGUAGGGUAAACCUAGCCUACCUGGACGCCAAAGCUAGAAUAUCUGCCCGCGAAACCUCCGAAUAAUACUAGUAGAACCCAAGCUUGAAUAAUAGAUUCGAAUAAUUAAUUUAUAUGAAAUUUCAUAAGACUAACCAAGAACUUAAAUUGAUUUUCUAAAAAAAAAAAAAAGCAAACCGAGAAAGACCAAUAUAUGGGAUGAUAGAGAUAUGGACGAGUAUAUGUAUAGAAGCAGUGAAUGAAAGUCCACUCUUCUUAUUUGUUUUUACUUUUAGAAAGGGUAAAUGCUAUCAUAUGGUGGCCUGACAAGUGGCAGCAACAUGUGGUCCAUCCAUCCGUUUCCAAGUGUGGGGUGAUGGCCACAUUCAUUAAUUUUCUACACAGCAUAUAUAUAUUCGGCUAUUGCAUAAAUUCAUGAUAAGAUAAUUAUAAUAUUUUGAAUAUACCAUAAUUAAUAUAAAAUUAUUUCUAACAAAACCUCUAUUAUAUAAUAAUAAUAAUAUUUUCACAAUUCUAAAAUUACUAUCUCCAUUUAAAAUAUUAAUAAAUCAUAAAAGUCUAUUAUAAAGUGAUAUAAUUAUAUCAUUACUUAAAGAAUUUUACCAAUAUUGAAAAUAUUCUAGAAGAGUACUAAACUAUAUUUCUACCAAAUGCCAAGUUAAAUUAAAUAAUCCAUGAUAUAUUUAGAUAGUACUAAAGUUAUAUAAAAAUACAGUAAAAUGAUCGUAAGGGUCAUUACAGCAUCCACUACUAAAAGGACUUUUGUCUGCGAAGGUAAAAGAUAAGGAAAUACCUGAAGAGUCAAACAUGUAGGGAUACUGGGCGCGCAUAUCACGCUCGAUCUCCCAAGUAGCCUCCUCAACUGGACGGUGAUGCCACUGAACUUUAACUACCGGAAUGUCCCUGGAGCGCAACUGCCUGACAUCCCUCGCCAAAAUAGACGCUGGCUCCUCUACAAACGCGAAUCCCUCGUCCAACUGAACCGAGUCCCACUGAAGUACGUGUGACUCAACUGGAAUAUACUGCCGCAACAUAGAUACAUGAAACACUGGGUGAAUGGCUGAGAAGGCAGGUGGCAAUGCCAACACAUAAUCUACCUCCCCAAUUCUCUGUAGGAUCUCAAAAGGUUCGAUAUAUCUAGGGCUAAGCUUGCCUCUUCUUCCAAACCUCAUCACAUCCUUCAUAGGCGAUAUUCGCAAAAAUAUCUUAUCACCAACUCCAAAACUCAAUGGACGACAUCUGCGAUCAGCAUAACUCCUCUGUCUGCUCUGAGCUGCUUAUAGCCUAUCCUGAAUCACUCGAACACGAUCCAACAAAUCACGAAGCAAAUCUGUGCCACAAGGUAUAGCCUCAGAAGUCUCAAACCAACCAAUAGGAGAUCGACAUCGCCUACCAUACAAUGCCUCGAUGGGGCCAUCGAAAUACUCAAGUGAAAGCUAUUAUUACAUGCAAACUUUGCCAAAGGUAGAAACUGGUCCCACUAACCUCCAAAAUCCAACACACAAGUGUGUACCAUAUCUUCUAAAACCUGGAUAAUCCACUCUAAUUGCCCAUCCGUCUGGGGAUGAAAGGCUGUGCUAAGGUCAACCUGGGUUCCCAACUUCUCCUGAAAUGUCCUCCAAAAGCUAGAAGUGAAUUAAGAUCCUCGGUCAGAGAUAAUGGACACAGAAACUCCAUGCAGGCGAACUACCUCCUAAAAUUAAACACGGGCUAACCUCCCGGCACUUUAGAAAACUCGAAUGGGGAUAAAAUGUGCAGACUUGGUUAAUUGAUCCACGAUAACCUAAAUGCUAUCAAAACCACAUGAAGUACGAGACAAUCCACCUACAAAAUCCAUAGUAACUCGCUCCCACUUCCACCGGGAAUGGGUAGCUGCUGAAGCAAUCCACCAGGUCUCUGAUGCUCGGCCUUCACCUACUGACAACAAAGACAUUAUGCCAUAAACCCUGCUAUGUCUUUCCACAUACCACUCGACCAGUAAUGUUGCCUCAAAUCCCUAUACACCUUAGCUGUCUCGGGUGAAUAGAGUAUAUGGAGCUAUGAGUCUCACGAAGAAUCAACUGGAUCAAAUCCCCAACCCUUGGAACACAAAUACGACCGUCAAACCUCAAGACACCUUCAGAAUCCAGGGUAGGACGUUGAGACUCACCCUUCAACAUCUGCUCUCGAAUGCUACGAAACUUGCCAUCCUCGAACUGAAGACUUUGGAUUUUCUCCAACAAGGUAGAUCUGGCCUCAACACUAGCAAAAAAUUCCCUGAGGGUCAGAAAUAUCCAAAUGAACCAUAAUGUUAGCUAAGGACUGAAUGUCCAAAGCCAACGGUUGUUGAGAAGCUGCAAUGAACGCUAAGCUACCCAUACUCACUGACUUUCGACUCAAGGCGUCCGCUACCACAUUCACCUUACCCGGAUAAUAGAGAAUAGAGAUAUCAUAUUCUUUCAGUAACUCAAUCCACCUACGCUGCCUCAAAUUAAGCUCCUUCUGGGUCAUAAUAUACUGCAGACUGUGAUGAUCAGUAAAUAUCUCACAACGAUCCCUAUCUAAGUAAUGCCUCCAGAUCCCAAGCGCAAAUACUAUUGCUGCCAACUCUAAGUUAAGAGUGGGGUAGUUGCGCUCAUGCACCUUCAAAUGUCUUGAUGCAUAUGCAAUAACACGACCGCACUGUAUCAGAACACACCCCAAACUAACACCAGACGUAUCACAAUAGUCAGUAAAACCAUCGUCCUCAACAGGAGGAGUCAGAAUAGGAGCUGAAGUUAGCAAAUCCUUGAGCUUCAUAAAACUCGCCUCACAACUUAUAGACCACCGAAACGGAAUCUCCUUCCUGGUCAAUCUAGUCAUAGGGGCUGUAAUAGAAGAAAAUCCCUCAAUGAACCGCCUGUAGUAACCUGCCAACCGAAUAAAGUUGCGAACCUCAGAAGGUGAUGUAGGCCUAGCCCAACUACGAAUAGCCUCAAUCUUUGUUGGGUCCACCAUAAUACCGUCCUUGGACACUACGUGCCCCAAGAAAGCUAUAGACUCAAGCCAAAACUCACACUUUGAGAACUUGGCAUAAAACCUGUGGUCUUUCAAAGUGCGGAGUACAUUCAUCAAAUGCUGCUCGUGCUCCUCCUUACUCUUCGAAUAUACUAGAAUGUUAUCAAUAAAUACUAUCACGAAAGAGUUCAAAUAUGGCUUGAACACGCGAUUCAUCAGAUCUAUAAAAGCUGCUGGAGCAUUGGUCAACCCAAAAGACAUCACCAGGAACUCAUAAUGACCAUAACGAGUCCUGAAGGCUGUCUUAGCGAUGUCUGCAACCCUAACUCUCAAUUGAUGGUAACUGGACCUCAAAUCAAUCUUAGAAAACACCGCUGCACCCUGAAGCUGAUCAAACAAAUCAUCAAUAUGAGGCAUAUAAUACUUAUUCUUAUAGUAACCUUAUUCAACUGCUGUAGUCGAUACAUAUACGCAAGGAGCCAUCUUUCUUCUUCAUAAAUAGAACUGGAGCACCCCAAGGAGAUACACUUGGUCUGAUAAAACCCUUACCCAGAAGAUCCUGAAGCUGACUAUUCAGCUUCUUCAACUCUGCAGGAGCCAUACGAUAUCGAGUAACAGAAAUAGGUUGGGUACCUGGCUCGAGGUCAAUAAUAAAAUCUACAUCACGCUCGGGAGGAAGGCCAGGUAGGUCGAUUAAAAAUAUAUCUAGAAACUCGCGAACAACAAGGACGGAGUCAAGCGGGGGACUCUCAGCACUAACAUCCCGAAUAUAUGCAAGAAAUGACUCGCAACCCCUCGAUACUAGUCUCCUAGCCCGGAUGUAUGAAAUAAUCCCCGUCGGUGCGCGACUAACAGAACCCUGCCACACAAUUGAGGGUAUGCCAGGCAAAGGUAAAGUAACGGUCUUAGCAAAACAAUCCAAGACCGCAUGGGAAAGAGACAACCAAUCCAUGCCUAGAAUCACAUCAAAAUCAACCAUAUCUAGUGCAAUGAGGUCAAUCUAAGUAUCAAAUUCUCAAAUAGUCACUAAACAAGAUCUAUAUACCCGAUCCACUACUAAAGAAUCACCCACUAGGGUAGCCACACGUAAUGGCAUAGAUAAAGACUUCGAACAUAAACCCAGUCGCGAUGCAAAAUAAGCAGAAAUAUAUGAAAAGGUGGAACCGGGAUCAAACAAAGCAGAAGCUGGCUGAUGGAACAUGAAAAUCGUACCUGUGAUCAUAGCAUCUGAAGCCUCAGCCCCUGAUCUACCUAGAACAAUAUACAAAUUACCUUGUCCACUACUAGACUGGGUACCUACCCGAUCGCCUGCCCUACCUCCCUGCGGACCACCUCUAGUACCCUGGGAACCAUCUCCACAACCCUGUACACCAGCCCUACCUAACGAUGGCACUGAUCUAGUCGGCUGCACAUCCAGAACUAAUGGCUCAAUCAUCCUACACCGAGGACACUCACGGGAAAAAUAACCAACAACCCAAUAGAAAUAACAUACCCCGAGCACCCUACUCUGUGUAGAAGAUCUAGCAGGUCCGAAAUGACCACCCUUACUCAAAGAUGCUGACUUAGUACCCUACUACGACUGGCCGCUACUCUAACUACUAGAACCAAUAUAAUUGGGUGAUCCCUCACCUCUGGGUCGACCUAGUCCCCUAACCGAAACUAUUAAAGAAGAACUGGGAUUCUGAUAUCUGACUCCCGCUCCUCGCAUCCUAACUAUCUAUGUAAGGAGUGAACCAAUAAACAUUAAAAUAAACUCAGACCCAACACACGAAAAUGGAUCAAGAAAAUAAGAUUGUUCCCUAAAAAUGCUCUGUAGCCUCCCAAAGAUAGGAUACAGACGUCUCUGUGCUGAUCCGUAGGACUCUACUAAACAUUGGAUCUAGUACCAACAGUAUCGGUGAAACCUAAGCUCUGAUACCAAUUUGUCACGACCUUAUUUUUUAAAUUGUGAUGGCGCCUACCUUUCCCCCCUAGUAGGCAAGCUAAGCCAUAUCCCGAAAUAAUAGAUAACGGGCUAAUAGGAAGAAAUCAGAAAAGAUCGAGUAUAAUGAUAGUAGUAGUAAUAAAAAGUAACAAACAGAAAGUAACCAUAUCUCAUAUAAUAAAAUGAGGAAAAAAAUUACCAAAUACACAAAAGAAUCCCUCCCAAGACCUGGUAAGGUUGGUACUAGAGCCACUACUAAAAUAUACCCAGAGUACUAGACAAAAAUCUAAAAUGUACACAAUAUACAAAAGCAGUCUCGAGUACAAAAGACUAAAUCAGAGUAGAUAGAGAAGGAUCAACCUUGGAAGACAGUAAACUCACCCUGCUUUGAAUCAGUAUUGGAAGGUAGGAAUCACAUCAACGUCGAUUGCUAGGGCCUGGAUCUGCAUCAGGAAAAAGAUGCAGAAGUGUAAUAUGAGUACUAAAAACAACGGGUGCUCAGUAGGCAUCAUCGGCCGACUGAGCUCAAUACAGAAAAGGUAUAACUACAACACUAGGGCGUAAUCUGAGUCAUUAGUAAAAAGGGAUGGAAAGGUAAAUAACUACUAAGCAACGCCAAUGAGAUAGAGAAAUAAUUGUAAGUGAUACAGAAAAUAAAUAAUGCAGUAAUUACAGACAAAUCAAACAUAACCUAAAUGGCCCCCAUAAGCCCGCUAGACACACAACAUAACCUAACUGGGCCCCUAUAAGCCCAUUAGGCACACUGAAGAAGACAAUUAAUCCAACCGUACCCCCAUAAGCCGGUGUGACACACAAGUAGCAAUUAACGAAAGUAAACAUAAAUAAUUUGUAACCGAACUGAUCUCAAGAAAUAUUGAUAGUCAUCCAGAUGUGCACCGGACUUAAACCGGUACCAAUGUGUAGUAAUGAGAGGCCAGAUAUAUAGAACUCAUAAUCAGAUACCGGACUAAAAUCGGAACUCAGAGUAAUCACAAAUCAGAUGCCGGACUCGAACCAAAACUCAUAGUAACAAUAAUAGUCAAAUGCCAAACUCGAACGAAACUCAUAGUAACAAUAAUAAUCAGAUGCCGGACUCGAACCGGAACUCAUAGUAACCAUAAUAAUCAGAUGCCGGACUCAAAUCGAAACUCAUAGUAACCAUACCCAACGGUAAUAUUAAAAUUCAUAUCAUAUCAUAUCAUAACAAUGUUAACGUCUAAAUAAUCAUCCGCUAAUUUUAAUUAAAAAGGGAUAAAUUCAAGAUUUUUAUAUUUUAGUUUCACAUCCUAAAGUAAUAGAUGCUGUAUUAUAUUAAAAAAAAAUUCCAAUAUUUACUAGAACAGGGUCCUAAUCCGGAUAAAUAAGACAGUUUAUAUAAAUCUCAUGAUACGCAUCUACAAGCACAUAUCCAACGCUAGCAUAAUAGUUUACAAUUUCAGUAAAUAAACUCAAUCUAAAGGUAGGAUAAACCUAGCCUACCUGGACGCCAAAGCUAGAAUAUCUGUCUGCGAAAUCUCCGAAUAAUACUAGUAGAACCCAAGCUUGAAUAAUAGAUUCGAAUAAUUAAUUUAUAGGAAUUUUAUAAGACUAACCAAGAACUUUAAUUGAUUUUCUAAAAAAAAAGAAGCAAACCGAGAAAGGCCAAUAUAUGGGAAAAUAGAGAUAUGGACACUAUAUGUAUAGAAGCAAUGAAUGAAAGUCCACUCUUCUUAUUUGUUUUUACUUUUAGAAAGGGAAAAUGCUAUCAUAUGGUGGCCUAACAAGUGGCAGCAACAUGUGGUCCAUCCAUCCGUUUCUAAGUGUGCGGUGGUGGCCACAUUCAUUAAUUUUCUACACAGCAUAUAUAUAUUCGGCUAUUGCAUAAAUUCAUUAUAAGAUAAUUAUAAUAUUUUGAAUAUACCAUAAUUAAUAUAAAAUUAUUUCUAACAAAACCUCUAUUGUAUAAUAAUAAUAAUAUUUUCACAAUCCUAAAAUUACUAUCUCCAUUUAAAAUAUUAAUAAAUCAUAAAAGUCUAUUAUAAAGUGAUAUAAUUAUAUCAUUACUUAAAGAAUUUUACCAAUAUUGAAAAUAUUCUAGAAGAGUACUAAACUAUAUUUCUACCAAAUGCCAAGUUAAAUUAAAUAAUCCAUAAUAUAUUUAGAUAGUACUAAAAUUAUAUAAAAAUACAGUAAAAUGACCGUAAGGGUCAUUACAUAUCCGAAGAUUGCGACUUUAGAAACCUCCACUCGUACAUUGUAAUCGCAAAAUUAAAAAAUUAAAUUGAGCACUUUAGAAAAUAUAUAGAAUAUUUGAAUUUUGAGAAUUGAGAUUUGAGCGAGAAUGAGAUUUGAUAGAAUGAAAUUGUGUGAAAAAUGAUUUGAAAGUGUAGGGUAUUUAUAGAAUUUUUUUUGAAUUUAAAAAAAUAUUUUAAUUGAAUAUAUAUUUUUUUAAUUAAAAAGGGCAUAUAGCCGUUUUUGGGGCCCAAACGGUCAUAUAACCGUUUUUGGGGCACAAAUGGACAUAUAGCCGUUGGGCCCAAUGGCUAUAUUGGCUCAACGGUCCACUUUUCUAAUUUCCAUUUUUUUUUUAAAAAAAGGGGAUUCGGGCUGGGCCGAUUAACCGGCGGGCCUUGAUCGGUUUUGGUUCGGGACAGGUUAACCAGGCCCAAUUUUAAAAUUGGCCCAGCAUUGAACUCGGUACCCUACAGCUCAUGGGCUUACCGGGCCGAGUCAAACCGGGUAGGGUUUAUUAAAUGUGUCGAUUUGGGCCGGGUCAAACCGACCCGUUUAAUAGGCUUAAUACAAAUUACCUGAGGUCUGAGAGUCAUUAGCAGCAAUACAUAUGUCCUGUAGAGGGUUAUUAUCAUAAGCAUAAGCAGGGGAACAAAAGAAAGAAGUAAUAGCUAAAGUUAUUUCGAAACACCACAUACUUAUUGUUAUCAUAUGCUAAUUUUUGUUUGCUUUGGAUUUGUUAUGUUUUUUUUCCAAACAACCAAAAAGGAGUGACUACUUAUAGUACUCUCACAUAGGUCAAAAUAUAGGUGAAAAAACAAUACGUACUGAAAUUUUGCACGAGUCUAUUAGGUAAGGCUACUAUAGGGUGUUAAGAGUUCCACGUGAACCAAUUGAAAAUUGGGUUUUGUGGAACCCAUAGAUCACGAGCGGAGUAAAAUAUAUUAAAUAGAUUAGGUACAAUUUUGAUCAUUCUCCCUAAAAUAAACCAAUGAUUAUUACCUAUUCGUUUCGGAAUAAUUGAAUUGUUGGGAUAUUUAUUGGUGUUUCAAAAUAAAUAAAUCAUUGAAUUUUUUUUUCCAAAUUUGUCCUUAUAAUUUGACAACCAAUUAACUUUUGAAAAAGUAUUACAAGGUCAACUUUUUUUUUUGGGUAAAAAUGAAAAGUUAUGUUAAAUUUAUAUUUUUAAUGUUUUUUUUCUUAAUAUGUGUGUCAAGAUUCAACAAUUCAUUUAUUAUAAAACGGAGGAAUUACUUUGCACCAUCUUAGCAUAUUUGUUUCAUCCAUCCUCAUGUCACCCACUUGAGAAUGUCUUUUUCUGCCAAAUCUCAUUAUCGGUUAAGGCAAAAUCUUUAAACCCCAUGAGUCCCACCCUUAAAUUUGGCUCAUAGCGCUGACCUCUCUAUCAUUUGAGGUACUACGUUGACCUCCCUUAUAUUGAUAUUUUAUAGCCAAAUUAAUUUAAAUGAUAAAUUGUCUAUAUAUCGUAACACUACCCUUGUCAUCUUUAGUUUUGAAGCAAAUAUAAACCUCCUUUUCUCAAUGUGGGACCCAAUAAACAAAUCAAAAUAAAAGAAAAAAAUUAGAGAAGCAAAUAAUGGUACCAAAGAGAGAAAGUAGGCGCCAAGUGCAAGUUGAAUGCAAUUUGCUUACAAAGUGCUUGUUAUAUUUUAGUUAUGAUUGAUUGGAGAAAGGAAUCUUUCCUAUAAAUAGAGGAGACGUCCCUCGCACAGAGAUAGGCAACAGAGAGCAGAAAGAGAGAGAAUCUAUGGAGAGAAUGACAUAACGUCACCCUAACUUAUUCGACUUUUGUAAAAAGAUGUUUACACUAUGCGGGCAUCCUAUGUCCCUCUUAAACGAUUGUGAAUUGUUAUUAUUACAUCAUUUUUGGAUCAAUUCCAAUUUUUAUAAGUGAUAAACAUCCACCAAUUAUUGAUUGCCACAUGUUUAUUAAAUAAUAUAUAUAUAUAUAUCCUUUAAAUUUUUCUCUUUUUGUUCACUAGAUAAAAUAGAUAAUUUUUAAUUAAUGGCAAAUCAUCGGCGAAUGCUGCCAAUGGCAAAACAAAAUUGUCAAAACGUCGAUCAAAUUUCGACGAGAUUUGUGGUGAUUACACCACUGGGGUUUGUUCGUGAUCCUCAGAUGUACCGCCCCAAGGAAUUUCAGUCGAUCCUAUCGACAAAAACUCCGGCGAACUACUGUCUCUGGUUGUCGACGAAGCUACAGUGGGGCUGAUGGAGGGGGACCACUGCCAAAAUAGGCGCAGAAUCACUGCGAGCAAACCCGACCAAGAAAAAAUGGUGACUAACAUACCAUCUCUUUUUACUUUUUUUUAAAUCUUUUUAUCAUUUUUAUUGAAAAAUAAACCUCGAUCAUGAUUAUAUCCACCAACAUCACAUUAAUGGAGAAGAAGAGGAAGGGAAAAAUAAGACUCCAAAGGAAAAAAUGCAAGUACAAAUUCCCCUAAUAAGCAAAAUAAAGCAUAAUCAACUGAGUGAUACUAAGAAAAAUAUGAAUAUUUCGUUCAAUUCAACAAUAAAAGAUAUAACUAAAUUCAUUUACAAUUACACAUCAUGUCAUAGUCAGUAGAAAUCCUAUUAACUUAUUAAUGUAUUCUAUUAGAAAUCCAAGUAGAAUGGAACUGAAUUUGAAAUCAAACUAGUAUUCUAGAAAUUGUUAUAAGAAAUCUCAAAUUGCUGCAAUUUUGAGUAAUUUCCAAACUCCUAGUAUUUUUGACCUUGAAAGAAAUUAUGUUUUCAGCAUAUAUAGUUCAAUCUAACAUGAUUUGAUGGUAAAACGAAGUUUGCUGGCUAACCACUUCGAUAUUUUCAUCAUAUAUACCUCAAUCAUCUAUAUUGUUCUUCAAUUUAUCUAUAGGUUUUGUAUAUGUCUGUCCUUUCAUUCCCUCAGUUCUGACUCUUAGGUAAAGAAAAAUUACACUUAAUAAAAGGUGCAUGUUGGUUGAAAUACUUGGUGAAAUACCAGAUGCCAAAUCAUAUUCUUUCUAGAGAAGCUACUCAAGCUUCAAUGUAUGUACGUAUUUAUUAGUUGAAUACAAUGACAAACAUUAUUGUUUCCAAUUUAGAUGUUUUCAGUUUCUUAAUCGCAGUCGUGUUCCUUUGGAAGUAGCUCCUUGUUUUUUCUGCUAAUUUUCAAGAAUGAAAGGAAAUAAAGUGAUAGUUGAAACCUUGUUAAAGUACUGAGACAGUAAUAAACACCUCCCUAUUUAAUCUACAAUUUUCAGUUUUGCUGAUUUUAUGAUACUACGUGACGAAAAAAAUAAAAUAGCAAAUUCUUAUGAUGAAAGUGGUUCUUUUUUAACGCAUCUAAGGAAGAGAUAAAAGAUCGAACAUAAGUACGUCUACAUCAUCUGGCAUUUCAAAACUAACAUACGUCUACAUCAUCUGGUAUUUCAAAACUAACAUUCCUAUAAGGGGCUCGUUUGCCAUGAUGCGUGCUCCUAAAAUCUAAGUUAAACACAUUGGAAAUGUUAUAAACCAGAGAGAAAAUAAGGAACAUAAUAUAAGAUGUUCCCUGGACCUUGAGAUCUUUAUAAAACUAUUGCUUCUGUUGAGAAGUGACUUAGUGGAUUUAAAACAGAAUAAGUGCAUUGCACAUACUCUUACUCUACAUUCUCAACCAUACAAGUUAAAUUAUGCAGAUUCGUUCAGGAAAAUUUCCAUCAGUCAUGUCCAUUAAGGUACGCGACUUUCAAGAUUGAGGAAGAUGCCCCAAGACUGUUUCAAGCAGGUCUGCAUGAAUAUCUUGGCCUGUACAACGCGCAGACUUCCAUACAUCAAGACAAUCAGUGGGGAGUAACUGUUCUUUCUGUUUCAGCCAGUAAAUUAGUAGCUAUACCAUCAGGUCCCGACUGACACCAUUCAAACAAGCAUAGGAGACCUCAAGACCAUGAUGUGAGAGCAAAAAGUGAAUGAAAAUUUAUUGUAUAGGAAAUAUUGAGGACUUUACCAUGAAGACAUCUUAGGAGUGACUUUGAAAAAUCAGUUUCAAACUCAUAACAAGACUUUAUCAAUUCCGACCUCAAUGGGCUUGUCUAGAAAGAACUUUUAUUGAGUGUUUUCCUAUGGAAUUGACAAAGUUGGAUGGUUUUUCAAAACAUAGUUAUUUCAAUUUAGUUGUUCAAGUUCUAAAAUCAGCAGUAUUUUAUACAUAUGUUUUUCAUUUUACCCUUAAUAGGAAUACUAGCAUCCACUGUUUUCAAAACUAUGGAAUGACCUAUAAGUGAUCUCAAUUCUCAAAACCAAAAUUAAAUUAUUAUUAUUAAUUUUAAUUAUAAAUACUCAAUAUCUAGACUUAUGGGAUGGAGUAAUAUGUACCAAAUUUCAAUGUUUAAUCAUUGCAUUGAUUAUUGCACUUUAAAAGACAUACAAGGGUAAUAUGUAAAAUACAUAUCUAUUUAUUGAUUUAUUAAUGGGUGUGCCAGUCCAUAGAGACCAACUGAUACGAAACGGAGGGAGUACUCCAUUCGUUUAUUUUUAUUUGUCACUAUUUCACUUUUUGAUGUCAGCAUGUAUGAAAUUUGAAUAAUUUAAUAUUUAAAAUUUAAAAUUUAGAUUGUCGAAUACUAUACGAAAAAGUUAUAAGUUGCAAUUCUUCUUAUAUUAAUAUGAUGAAAAAGUACAUUCUGAAAUGAUGAUCAAAAUUCAUGCAGAUUGACCUGAAGAAGCAAAAUAUUAACAAGUAAAGCUGAAUAGAAGAAGUAUUAUGAAUUGCUUAUUAUGAUAGAUUUCAAAAGUGUAAUUACCAAAUAAAUAUUAUGACUAGUUUCUAGGGGCUUUGAGCUAUAGGUGACUAAAAAGUUUGAAAAUGAGGUGUAGGUGAUCAAGUCUUAAUAAUUGAGUGUGGGUGACAAUUACUUCAUUAUGUAGUAAGAAAGUUGAAGAAAUUUAAAAAUAACCCACAAGUUUUUAAAUUUACACUUUAAUCUAAAUUUUAGUUAAUAUAACGGAAAACGGAGGAAAUAAAGGUGUGUUUCUCUAUCUUCUCUUCUAUUGUUGUUUUCUCUCUCUUCGUGAUUUUUAUUGUUCAUUGUUGUUGUUGCUUUAUUCAUCAUCUUUCUACUUUAUAAUCAUCAUCAUCUUCUUCUUGUCGGCUAUUGUUGUUGUUUUUUCCACUGUACCUGACAAAUUUUCUAGGUGAAAAUUUAUUUUGUACAUCACUUUGCACUUUGGUAUUACUUCAUAGGUGACUUUGGUAAGGAAAUGAUACAAGAUAGACCAAGAACACACAAAACACACACUCAAAACAAUCCACAAGUUCAAGAGAACCGAGGACCCUUUGAGUGAUCCCUCUCGAAUUCAAGAUCUACAACAAGAACACAAUGUAAUGAGGUGAUUAACACCUAUUUUCAGCGGACAACAAACUAGAUUAAUAACACAAGAAUAAAGAACAAGAAGAACAAUAACAAUAUUAAUAAGAACAACAAACACAUGACUACAAAAAACAAAGGAAUAAAUAGAUAGAAUACACAAAGAUGUAAUCUUAAGAACCCAAGAGCUUAUUCCACUCUUGGAACCUUAACACUAUGCACAAUGAUUCACCUAUAUCUUACGUUAAAACAAGAGGGAUCUCAAUCUCCCAAACAUCCAACGUUUCCAAGCUUGAAUCCAACAUGAGUGAUUUCACACUCAAGUUGAUUUCCCUAGCUGCUAUGUUUCGGCCAAGAGGCCAUUCUCUCAAGAGAGGGUGUUGCAGUGUUACAACUUUCAAUAUUCAAUAAAAACCAAGUAGUAAAUGACCUGACAUAUUCUAUUUAUAGUAGGUCACAAAAAUAGUAUGAAAUGUCCAAAAGACCCCUUAGUCAAAUGCUUUACUUUAGGUGUCCUUGGAGUGCAGAACAUGGAUUGUUUUUGGAGCCUAUUUAGGCCCUCCUUUUCACUUCAUUUGAACACUCCAAGUCUCUGGUUCAAUACAUCUCACAUAUGUCCACCUUCGUGGUUGUACUCGUAUCAGCCCCCCUUCUUAAAAAGGAUUCGACCUCAAAUCCAUACCUUGCAAAAUCAGAAAGGAAACAAACAAGCACAUAUCCUCAUAGCAUGAGGGUUAGAGUUAGCAAAAUAAACAAUUAGCAUUAUCGUUCCACAGUGGUACACACUUAAAGUACAACCAAGGAUCCUUUGAUACGAGUCAAAUGGUCACCUUAGCUUUUGAUGACAUCAUUUGAAGUCAGUACGUGGGGCAUCAAUCUUUGGUCGCAUUGAGGACAUGGGAUCCUACAUGGAGGGGCUGAUUUGAGUACACCAAAGAGCAAUCCCACAUGUGGAAGAUUGCUUGGACCAUUAAAAAUUGAGGACUCAUGAUUUUGGGCCUUCAUUAAGGGCAGUUUAUUCACUUAGCCUUGUCCAAGUAACACUCCAUGACCACUCCUUUUUACUAAGGGUAUUCUGGUUAUUUUGUUAUGUAACAAGUUAGACUAUAAAUAGGUUUUAUUAGUUCAUUUGCUAGUUAGUUUUGAAUGAUACAAGAUUGAAAUACUUGAAAAUCCUCUCUCUUGAGAGUAGACCACCUUAGUAUAGUCUUAGUUAGGACUUGAAAAUUUCAUCCUUAGUAUAGGUCUUGGAAAAGCCAAUAUUGUUCUUUGCUUGGAAAUGGUGGAUCUUGAGGUGAGUCGAUUGCCUUGGCGGUCACCGUAAGAGUGUGGUUUUAAUUAUUACAUUCAUUAGGGGUUAGUGUUGAAAUACACUUGGUUCUUAAUCUUGUAAUAAUCUUGGUCUCACUAUCUAUUUUUAUUUUCUAUGCAAUUUACCUUGUGUUUGUGUUGAAUCCGUGUCUUGUUUCAUCUUGUGUCAUUGUUAUAAUCUUCAUCUCCUCUCUUUAGUUAUAAUUUCUAUUUCUAGAUUUGUUUUCCAUAUCAUUUGGUAGAAGAGCAUGGAUUGAUCUUGUUCCUACAAGAUCAAUCUUGGGCUUGCUUGUUAGAAAGUUAAAAAAAAGUGUUAAAAACUGAAAAUUCUAGAAAUAUAGCAAUCUGUCCGUGUUUGUGUUCUUGGCCAAAAUUGUGUUCUUGUUAUGUCUUGGCUGAGAUUUGUUUGUUGUGUGACUAGAUCUAGUAGUGUUCUUAUUUAUUUUUUUGUUUCUAGUGUUAGUUUUCUUGUCCACUAACAUUUUGAGUCUAGAUCUAAACUUGAGCUUGAACUUGUUAAAAGUUGUUGUUGUGAAUAUAGGCUUGGCCCAUUGUUGUUGACCAUUGUUGUGGUGGACUGUUUUGGCCGUGCGGUUUCUCCUUGAUGUUCUAAACUUGACCACAUGAUAUUGUUGUUACUUGGUUUCUUGAGAACCAUUUUGUUGAAGUUGUAGUUGUCUUGGUCAAGUGUUAGAGAUAUUGUUAUUAUGGAUUGGAGUUGGCCGUUGGAAUUGUUGUUGCUCUUGAAGAUUGUUGUUAUUGUUCUUGGCGUGGUUGUUGUUGUUCUUGAAAUUCUUCACCUUCCUUCAUAUAUUGUUAGAACAUAAAGUGAAUGCUAGAUCCUAAAAGGUGAAGGAAAAAUGUGUAUGUACUUGUUAGUAUUGAAAGAUCCCCAACCACCAAAAGACUUUAUAUCACUUCUCAACCACCUUUUCAUGAUUUAAGGACCCAUGUUUUAAGGAGAAGCACAAGAAAAAGUCAAGUCUUGAAAAUUGAAAAAGGCCGCAAGACUUAUUUUCCCUCCUAAAACAAAUUCCACCAACCCAAAUUAAUUUUUGACCAAGACUUGAACAUUUGAGAAUAACCACUUGAUAAAACCGAACCAAUACGUGGCUGCCACAUCAUCACUGCUACUGUUCACACAAUAUUUUCGAGCUCAAAAUUUUAGAUUCUUAGUUUUAUUUUUAUUGUCCCUUAGUUUUGUUGUUGGUUCUAAUACUAAUUAGCAACUAGUAAUCACCUACUUAGUUGUAGAUUAGUUGUUGAGUCUGUUUCUUUCGUGUCUUCGUUAUUUAUGUGCUUUUCUUAUUUUUAACUCAUCGUAACUUCUUUGUUUCAAGUUCGUAAGUAGAGUUUGUUUUGUGUCUUGUGUCGAUCAAACAAGAAUCUAUUCUGGCCGCCAAGUAGAAUUGACAUCUUAUUGACUACUGGAGUAUAAGCAACUUUUAAUAUUCGCGGCUCUAAAUUGUGAGGAUCACAAAAGUGAGUGAAUACGAGUGUUGGUGAGGAGCUUUUACUACUAAUCUUGUUUGUUCAUUUUGUAGGUUUAAAAGGUAAUAUAAGGGGAACAUGUCUUUGAUAGCCGGGGAUUAUUGUGACUACAACAUGAGAGACUAUGAUUGUAGUGAGGGGUUUUAUGNNNNNNNNNNNNNNNNNNNNNNNNNNNNNNNNNNNNNNNNNNNNNNNNNNNNNNNNNNNNNNNNNNNNNNNNNNNNNNNNNNNNNNNNNNNNNNNNNNNNNNNNNNNNNNNNNNNNNNNNNNNNNNNNNNNNNNNNNNNNNNNNNNNNNNNNNNNNNNNNNNNNNNNNNNNNUUUACAAUUCUCACUCCGAACUAAGAUUUGGUGUUAGGUAUAACUCUUUAGUUCGCAAAGCUUAUGAGAGCUAUGAUAAGAGUACACGGGAGGAGUGUGAAGAUUCAUAUUCUCCACCUUGUAUUACUUCUUAUCAAGAUCGAUAUAGUAUGAAUAGUUAUACUAGCUCUAGUGGAGGUUGUCCAACGAGAAGAAGAGGGUAUGCAUCUCCAAAAUGAGGGGUACUUGUAUGCUUUAUAAUGUUGAUCCGAGAAGGAGUGUACACUUCGAAAAGGUGACCAUUUAUGGGAUACCGGGCUGCCUCGUUGUAUUAAAUGAUAGGUACUAUAGUAACUACAUCAUUCCAUCCAUGGUUGACGACUUGGGGUUGUUUUAUGAGCCUUUACUUGUUCCAUACUUCUUGGACGGGUUUAAGGUUACCGAGAGGGUCAAGGUUGUCUUCUCCCAGUUUGAAUACCAUGAAGAGAUGUGGUACGAUAUUCUUCUAUUGACAUAUGGUCAUGUAUGCUUAGGUGCCGAUUGGUUUGCACAACAUAGAGUUCCAAACGUGCAAAAUUGGCCAAAUAUUGUAAGAGACCAAUGGAGGAAUCGCCUCAUGACUUACUUAAUGCCCAAGCCAUGAAGAGAAAUUCCUACCUACUCCAAUCCGAAUUAUUAUGAGAGACAAAAGAUUGAGAGGAGUAAGGGAGUGCAAGGUGGUAAUCUGAGAGUGGAAAAAAGAGAGGUUGUGUGGAGCGAAGUGAGAGGAUUACCACCAAACCAUGCUAACAUUGGUUGUCCUUCUAUUUCUAAGUACAUUUGUGUAGGUACCAACAUGACAAUCGAAGGUGAACAAUGCUGAAAGGUAGUUGCUGCCCAAACUUGUGGAGGACCUUCACACCAUUACAAAAAAGAAUCUACUUAAGGACUUCAAGGUAAAAUAUCUAAACUCUUACAUUUUCGUGCAUGUGAAUGAUAAUUGUGUGGCUAGUAGCCCAUUGAGUGUGAGUUGUAGCUUGCCUAUAGAUGGGUCUAUUUUUUCUUUUCCACUUAAUGAUGAUGUAAGUGUUGUGAGUGUGGAUACACUAGUUGAUCCCAUUGAUGACCGAAUCAAAUUUUCUUGUAAGAUCGAUUUAUGUCCACCUAGUGUUGAAACCAUUAUGUUGAAUGAAAGUACAUUAUCUUCUGAAAUUGGUAUUGAUCAACUUAUGUGUGAAAAUUACCCACCACUUAAGUAUGUGUAUGAUGUGAUUAAUGAACCUUAAGUGUGUGAUGAUGUUGAAAAUGUUGAUCAAAGGAAUAUGAGUGAACCCGAGAGCUAUUCUAGGGAUAAUCUUGCACUUGAAAUCUCUUUGAAACUUGAUAUUGAUCUUUUAGAGAGUGAUGAAUAUGUUUGUUCCGAAUUUGUCCGUGAAAUAGAUCAUACUCUCUUUAGGUAUAAUGUCUUGUUUGAAGAUGAUACAACCACUCCUAAUGAACCUAGAGGUAAAAAUAAUGGUAUAGCUUGCCUUAGAAGCUAUAGCCGAUAUGCUAACCCACUAUGGUGUGGCAACAUUCCUCCUAAAGAUGGAAAUCUCUUCUUGUAAGAUGAGAUACUCUUAAGGGUAAGGGAUGUGUGUUCUUGGAAACUAAAUCUCCUUCUACUUUAUGUGACUUUAUUGUUGAGACUAGUCAUGGUGAUGAUUGUGAAACUAGUAGUGAGUGCACAUAUGAGGGCACCUUAGUAGAAGUCGACUUGAGUGAUACAUUUCUCUACUCUUUACUUGCUUUGGAUAACAUGUAUGCUAUUGUUGAGAGUAUUCCGUUUAGUUUGGGUGGAGACCACGGGAAAUGGGAGUAUUGUCUAGACCCGUGUCUAUGGCCACUCUUCUCGUUUGACCCCAAUGCCAAAUAUAUACUUGAUGAUGAUGGUGCACCCCACUUGUUGCUUGGUUUACAUUACAAGCAAAGUAUCACUUUUGGUGAAUUCCAUACCCAAAUCCUUUGUGCAUUUUUCAUUAAUUAUUUAAUAUUUAGUUCAAAGGAUCCUUGGUUAUAUUCUAAAUAUGUGCAACCUUGGCAUGUUAAGGUGAUUUGUCAUGCUAACCCUAACCCUCAUGCUAUGAGGGUUUGUAUUUGUGUGUCAUUUCUUUGGUUUUGCAAGGUUUGGAUUUGAGGUCGAAUCCUUUUCAAGAAGGGGAGGAUGAUAUGAGUCAAAUGGCCACCUUAGCUUUCGAUGACAUCAUUCGAAGUCAGUACAUGGGGUAUCAAGCUUUGGUCGCAUUGAGGACACGGGAUCCUACAUGGAGGGGCCGAUUUGAGUACACUAAAGAGCAAUUCCAUAUGUGGAAGAUUGCUUGGAGCAUUGAAAAUUGAGGACUCACAGUUUUGGGCCUUCAUUAAGGGCAUUUUUUUCACUUAGCCUUGUCCAAGUAACUCUCCAUGAGCACCCCUUUUCAUUAAGGGUAUUAUGGUUGUUUUGUUAUGUAAUAAGUUAGACUAUAAAUAGGUUCGAUUAGUUCAUUUGCUAGUUAGUUUUGAAUGAUGAAAGAUUGAAACACUUGAAAAUCCUCUCUCUUUAGAUUAGACCACCUUAGUAUAGUCUUAUUUAGGACUUGGAAAAGUCAUCCUUAGUAUAGGGCUUGGAAAAACCAAUUUUGUUCUUUGCUUGGAAACGGUGGAUCUUGAGGUGAGCAGAUUACCUUGGCGGUCACCGUAAGAGUGUGGGUUUGGGUAUUACAUUCAUUAGGGGUUAUUGUUGAAAUACACUUGGUUCUUAAUCUUGUAAUGAUCUUGGUCUCACUAUCUUUAUUUUCUAUGCAAUUUCCCUUGUGUUUGUGUUGAAUCCAUGUCUUGUUUCAUCUUGUGUCAUUGUUAUCAUCUUCAUAUCCUCUCUUUAGUAAUAAUUUCGUUUUCUUGCUUUGUUUUCCAUAUUAUCCGUUGUGUUAAUUAUGAAAAGCCUUUGUACAACAUCACAAAGGAAAGGGCUCGGAUGGACAUCAAGAAAUAAGGAACAAAAAUUGAAACUACGCCUCUCAUAUGAUGUAUAUCCAACAACACCAUGAAUAUCAUCAUAUGCAUAUAGGUAGUGAAGAAAGGCACCAAAGACACAAUUCUCAUCCAAGAUGUAUUCACAAGUAGGAACACACAAAGAGAUAAAGGGACAUUGUAAGCAUGUAGGACCUCUCUUUUUCCAACCACUUCCCGAGGGAAGGCAUUCCAUCAAGGGAAUUAUACCAAUAGGGAGAAUGGGGAAACUACCAUGCAACAAUCCAAUCCAAGACAAAUAGUUUGCCCAAGAACUCAGUUUCCCUCUAUAAAUGAUGUUAAGCACGCUCCCAAGAGUCCCACAAGAUAUUUCAAUUUAUCGAACCCCAUGAAGGUGACAAGAAGCCUUUAACAUUCUUGGACCCUUCCACAAACAAGAAUACUACUUGACAUCAACAAGUUGUGGUUCACAUAACUUAAGUACAUGUGUGUCAAACAUGGAUGCACGGAUAUGAGCAACACCCCAAAGAGACAAUGACACAUUUUCCCCAAGGUCCUCGAGUAGACACAAACCACCAUUAACAUCAAAGGUAUAAUAAUUUAAGUCACCAUAUUUGUCAAGAACUGGUGGGGUGUCAUGAAAAAAAGUACAAGAAAAAUUAUUUUUCUAGGAAUAAUCACAAUUCGUGUUUCCCAAGUAAUCAAGAAAACCAUGGUCAUCUUCACCCGACUGACUAUUCCUUUCCAAGACUACACAUUCCCUACCCUUAAGAGUACUCUCAUCUUCCAAGAAGUGAUUUCCAUCUCGAGGAGGAAUAUUGUACACCAUAGUGGGUUAACGUAUAGGCUAUAGCUUCCAAGACAAGACAUGCCGUCAACUUCACUUGCACCACUAGGUUCAUUAAGAGUGAUUAGACUAUCUCCAAAUAAGAUAUUGUACCUAAAGAGUGAAUGAUCUAACCCGCAGACAGAUUUAGAACUUUCAAUCUCUUAGGAAUCAUUAUCAAGUUUCAAAGAUAUGUCAAGAACAUGAUUAACCCUAUAAGCCGAGCAAACAUUAGAAUCUUUACAACAACAUAGGCUCACGAGUUCACUCCCUUUUCCUUGACCAACAUCUUCAAUUUCUUCACUCAUUUGGGAUUCAUUAGUCACGUCAUACAUAUUCUCAAGUAGUGAUCAAGUUUUACACAUAAGUUGGUUAGCACAAUUUUCACACGACGAUGUACUUUCAUUCAACUCAAUAGCUUCAACACUAGGUGGACACAAAUCGAUCUUACUAGAAGAGUAGAUUAGGUCAUCUAUAGGAUCAACUAGUAGGUAAGAUACUACUCACACUCAAUGGCUUAUUAUUCACAUGUUCAUCAUUCAUAUGAAACAAAGUGUAAGAGUUAGCUAUUUUACCUUGACAUUCAUGAGUAUGUUCGUCUUUACCUCGAUGUGAAAGUCCUUCACAAGUUUGAGGAGCAACUUUCUUCGGGAAUCUCUCACCGUAAGGUCUUUAGAUUUUAGGUUUUGAAUUUAUUGGGAUAAGUGUGGAUACCAAUUGGCGUAGCUUUUCAAUGUGCCAUUUUAUGUCUUCAAUAUUGUCAGUGAUGCGGUCAAAUAUGGAAUCGAUAUUGGUGGCAGCCAUGGAACCUAAAAGAAAAGACAACAACGAACAACAAAACAUACAAACUUGUUAGCUCAAAAAUGCCUCACCACACUCUCACUCUCAAUUUUUACCUCACACUUGGUUUCACAAGUGUUGAAAGUUGUCUUGUACUUCGCCAGUGAUUGAGGGUCGAGUCUACUCUUCCCCAAAAAGAUUUUCGUUUGAGUUGACUCAAAGAAAAUUUAUUUAUGGACUUGAACCAACAAGAUAUAAUGAAUUCACAAAAGAGAAAAGUACAUAACAAACGCUUAACAUGAAUGAACGAACACAAAGACUAACUAACAAUCCAGUAGAUGAGUACUAGUUUGCCAAUUAGUAUUGGAACCAACGAAAUUGAAACUAAGGAACAACAAAAUAAAACUAAGAAAUCUGAAAUUCGAGCUUAAAUAUGUUGUGUGAAUAGUAAAAUGUGAUGACGUAGCAGCCACGUAUUGGUCUUGGUGCCACACAACUUUUGUUGUCCAAUUUUAAGUCUUGGUCAAUUUUUCAAUUUGGAAUUUGGUGGAAUUUGUUUAAGGAGGGAAAUUUAAACAAGUCUUGGAGCCCUUUUCAAUUUCAAGUUUUCAAGAUUUGACUUUCUUGUACUUCUCCUGAAAACGUGGAUCCUUAAAUCAUGAAAAAGUGUUGCAAAGUGGUUGAGACUUGAUUGAUAGGUCUUUGUUGGUUGUAGUGUCUUUCAAGAUUAACAAAUAAUACACCCUUUUGCUUCAAAUUUUGGAUUUAGCAUUCAAUUUAUCUUCAAUAAUAUAUGAAGGUGGUGAUGAACAUCAUCAUCAACAACAACAACACUAAGAACUACAACAAUAAUCUUCAAGAACACCAACAAUUUUCACACGGCCACUCCCAAAUUCCACAAUAACAAUAUCUCCAACACUUGGCCAAGACAACUACACCUUCAACAAAAUAUUUCUCAAUCCACCAAUUAACAACAAUAUCACGUGGUUAAGCUUAGAACAUCAAGGAGAAACCACACCGCCAAAAUAGUCCACCACAAUAAUGUUCAACAACAAUGGGCCAAGCUUAUGUUCAUAACAACAACAUCAAAAUACAAGCUCAAAUCAAGAUAUAGACUCAAUUUGUUAGUGAGGAACAAAACUAACACUUAGAUACAACAAAUACAAGUAAAAAUCUCGAUCAAGAUAUAAGAAAAAUACAAUUUUCGGACAAGAACACAAAAUGGACAGAUUGCUCUCUUUUCUAGAAUUUUUAGUUUUCAACUUUUUUUUUUCAACUCUCAAGCCCAAGAUUGAUCUUGUUAGAACAAAAUAAAAGAUGGAUAUGAUACCAAAUGAUACAAGAUAGACCGAUAACACAUAAAACAUACACUCAAAAUAGUCCACAAGUUCAAGAGAACCGAGGACCCUUUGAGUGACCCCUCUCGGAUUCAAGAUCUACAAUAAGAACACAAUAUAAUGAGGUGAUUAACACCUAUUUUUAGUAGACAACAAAAUAGAUUAACAGCACAAGAAUGAAGAAUACGAAGAACAAUAACAAUAUUAUUAAGAACAACAAACACACGGCUACAAGAAAUAAAGGGAUAGAUAGAUAGACUACACAAAGAUGUAAUCUUAAGAACCCAAGAGUACGACUGUGCAAAUUUCAGUUCAAACCGUUAACCCAAACCAAUAAUUUCUUUGUUGGGUUAACGGGUCAUUUUUUUCAAUAUCGGGUCGGGUGUUGGUUUAUUGUUGGGAUAGGUCAGGCAAAUUCCUCUAGUGGAAGGAAUAUGCCCAUAGAGAAAAAGCCAAUUAGUAAGUAAGAUCGAAAGAGUAGGGACAGACUUUUGCAUCAAUCCUAGCCAGGGAAAUCCCCGAAUCGAAGGAAGAGUAAGCGAAAGGCUGCACACAUUAGGGCCAUUACCCGUCUACUGGCCCAAAACUCUAAAGGGCCAAAUGCCCAAUUCCCAAACCCGUACUUAGAGACUUAGGGUUUCAAAUUUUAUCAUUUUUCAAUUUUCACGUCUGUCUCCCUCACUCACUCUCAAAGACCGCCUUAGACUAUCUCUUAUUAUUCAUAAUCUUUGCUCAAUUCUUGCUGAAAACUCAGUAUUCAAAGUCUAUUUUUGCUGAAAACUCUGUAUUCAAGCUCUAUUUUGCUGAAAACUGAAGAGACCCAAGACGAUUUUUACUUUUGCUCUCAAUAGUCUAUAGGUAAAAAUUUUUGUUUUUGCUCGAUUUCAUUCCUAGAAGUCUUCUGCUAAUCUUCUUCAUCUUUAAUUUCUGUCCAAAGCAUUGUAGUAGUAAUUAAUUUGUAAGAUAGAACCAAAGCAUCAUAAGAAAAACUUUUGUUUCCCCAACCUUGCUAUAAUAUGAGUUGACCAAAUUAAAAAUAUAAAAUUUGAAGGAUUGAAUGAAAAUGAACUUUCAGAAGUUAAAUAUUUUGUACAAAUAAAAUAAUGUUGGUAUCAAUUCCUGUAUGUGACAAUAUAGAAUACUCUUCUACACUCUCUUGCUUCAAUCUUCCCACUUUCUGUAUUUUUAAAAUAUACUAUUUUCCUAUUCUAUUUGUGCUAGACCAGUAGACACUAGACAAUUUUAAAUUCGUGAAUUGUGACUUUAGUUUGAAUGUUUUGUUACUUUGUAUUAUAUUUGUGGAUUUGUGCUUAGAAAGUGCAAUAAGCAUUACACAGUAGGCACUAGGCAUUGACUGAAAUUUAUUGUGACGCACUAAGCAGUAAGCACUAAGAAGUAUUCUGCCAGUCUGAAGUAGCUUACUUACUAACUUAGGACUUUAAAUUAUAUAUGUUCAAUGUUAAUGGUUAACCCAAUAACCGAACUGAUAACAAUGAAAAAUCGAUAAACCGAUAACUGAUUAACCUAUAUAUUAAUGGUUCUUUAACGAUUUAGCAUAUACAUAAACUGAUAAUGAAUAAGUAAAACUGAUAAUUUUCAAAACCAUCAAACCGGCUUAUAUGCAGCCCUACCCAAGAGCCUAUUCCACUCUUGGACCCUUAACACCACAUACAAUGAUUCACCUAUCUCUUACAUUGAAACAAGAGGGAUCUCAAACUCUCAAUCAUCCAACGUUUCCAAGCUUGAAUCCAACACGAGUGAUUCCACACUCAAGUUGAUUUCCCUAGUUACUAUGUUUCGGCCAAGAGGCCAUUCUCUCAAGAGAGGGUGUUGCAAUGUUACAACUCUCAAUAUUCAAUCAAAACUAAGUAGUAAAUGACCUAACAUAUUCUAUUUAUAGUAGGUCUUAAAAAAUAGUGUGAAAUACCCAAAAGACCCCUUAGUCAAAUGCUUCACUUUAGGCAUCCCUGGAUUGUAGAAUGUGGAUUGUUUGUGGAGCCUAUUUAGGCCCUCCUUUGCACUUCAUUUGAACACUCCAAGUCUCGACUUCAAUACAUCUCACAUAUUUCCACCUUUGUGGUCAUACUCGUAUUGGUAAAAUUAUGAUUUUUAGUUAAAUUUGUCAUCUGGGUACACUGCUACUGCUAUUUUUUCAACAAUGGAUAGAACUUGUUCAUGAAUACAGCAUAAGAGCCGACAAUUUAAACCGAUCACUCAGUCUGUUGCAACAGAAACAUAUUUUGAUGCAACAAAAGACUCAUAUGUUGGAUUCAUGUUUACAGUUCUUAUGCCCGUAACAUGAAUCAAACGGAUGGUUAAUCUAUUGCAAUGGACGUCUUAUCUGUUGCAAUAGAUAAUUAUUCUAUUGUAACAGAUAAAUAUCUUUUGCAACAGACGAGAAACCUAUUGCAACAAAAUAUUUAUCUUUUGCAACAGAUUAUUUAUCUGGUGCAACAGAUGAUUAUUCUGUCACAACACAGUUCUUGCCACAAACCCAACAGAUAACCCAUAUGUUUAACUCUUGUUAUUGAUACUGGAUUCACAUUAUUUCUUAACCGUCGACAUGUUUGUUGAGCAAAAGAAAUAGACAAAAUGAAAAUUAAAUAAGAAUUAAAACUUUAAAGUCGAUCAAACAUAAAUUUUUUAAUAAACAAAAACAAAUAAAAAUACAUAGGCUAAAGAAAAUUGCCUUCACGAGGUAGGGGAUUAAGGUCUGAGGUCUGGGGAUACACUAACCUCCCAAGAUCCCAGUUGUGAGAUUAUAUUAUACUAGGUAUGUUGUAGUUUUUAUUUUUGUGUUUUUAUUUGAUCAACUUUAAUACUUUACUAACUGCUUAAUUAAAAUGAUCUAACAGAGGUAUUUACUUGAGUAUUAAUGUAUGCAUUGGGUCAAGUUUUUAGUUUCAACUCUUGCUAUUUCUACUGGAUUCAAAUUAUUCCUUAGUCAUCGAUAUAUUUGUUGAGAAGAAGAAAUAGACAGAAUAAAAAAUAAAUAAGAAUUAAAACGUCAAAAUCGAUCAAACAGAGUUUUUUUACUAAACAAAAACAAAUAAAAAUACAUAGGCUAAGAAGAGAAAAAAAUAAUCUAAUUAUUAUUGUCAUCAUUAUUUCCAUCUGGCCAAUCCUCAACCGGCAUCAGUAGUGCCCUCCUCAGCCUCCGGAUCUCCCCGAGCAUCCUGCCUCUCAUUGUAGACAAUUCCCAUUGAAGGUCAUGAAAAUGAGUUUGAAGCUCCCGCACGGUGUCUUGUAAAAUAGAAACAUCCCACACUAGAUUAGCCAUAUCUAGAACAUAAUGAAAUUGAUAGAAAAUGUUAAAAUAAAAGUAAAGAAAAGAAUCCGAAUGUAAUACAACGUACACUACCAAUUGGGUAUAUUUACACAAAAAAUAAGAAAAAAACUUAUCUGAGUCAGGAUAGAGAAAGUGGUUAAAGGUGUAAUAUGAAAGACAUUAUAAUACCUCGGGAAAUUUUUCGUUGAAAUUUUAUGCGUAAACGUGUUGGGUUCUGUCUUCUAGAAUGAAUAAUAAAUUUUUCGUGCGGAAUGUCUUACAUUAUGACCCACCAUUGUGUAGAGUAUCAAAUAAGAUUUCCAACAAUAUAUGGAUCAUCCAAAACGGACACCUGAUCGACGAAUUAUGAACAUUCUGAUCGAACCGCGAAUAGUAGUGAACAUUAAAAUGUGCAGGAAAAGGUAUUGAGGCAUGGCGUAUUUUUUCUCUAACUUUAAACAAUCAUAACUCCUUGUACAUAAUGAUCUGGGUGAUAUACUAUAUAUCAACGGAAAGCUUUGCGAGUCCUCUUUCCAAUGAAAUUGGUUUCAUCCAAUUUGUUUAUCGGAGAAAACAGUUAUGGUCGAUCUACUUCAGCCUAUCAAAUGCAAAUUUUUGGGUCAACUUAAAAAAAUCAUAACUCCUCGUACAGAAUGAUUUGGGUGUGAUAUAUAUAUAUAUAUAUAUAUAUAUAUCAACGGAAAUAUAUGAGAGUCCUCUUUAUAAUGAAAUUGGUUUCAUCCAAUUUGGAUAUCGGAGUAAAACGUUAUGGUUGAUCUACUUCAGACUAUCAAAACAGUCCACCAAAGGAUAGAUUCGAGAAUUUUUUAAUUUUUAGGGGCGUUUUGGUCAUCCCCCCUCACCCAAAAUCCGUCCAUACCUUAUAUUGAUGCGUNNNNNNNNNNNNNNNNNNNNNNNNNNNNNNNNNNNNNNNNNNNNNNNNNNNNNNNNNNNNNNNNNNNNNNNNNNNNNNNNNNNNNNNNNNNNNNNNNNNNNNNNNNNNNNNNNNNNNNNNNNNNNNNNNNNNNNNNNNNNNNNNNNNNNNNNNNNNNNNNNNNNNNNNNNNNNNNNNNNNNNNNNNNNNNNNNNNNNNNNNNNNNNNNNNNNNNNNNNNNNNNNNNNNNNNNNNNNNNNNNNNNNNNNNNNNNNNNNNNNNNNNNNNNNNNNNNNNNNNNNNNNNNNNNNNNNNNNNNNNNNNNNNNNNNNNNNNNNNNNNNNNNNNNNNNNNNNNNNNNNNNNNNNNNNNNNNNNNNNNNNNNNNNNNNNNNNNNNNNNNNNNNNNNNNNNNNNNNNNNNNNNNNNNNNNNNNNNNNNNNNNNNNNNNNNNNNNNNNNNNNNNNNNNNNNNNNNNNNNNNNNNNNNNNNNNNNNNNNNNNNNAUCCACAAGAUGGUUGAUUUUGAUAGAUGGGAAGCAUGAUGGCU